CCGCUCCGGAUGCCGUGUGCGCAGGCGCCGACUUCAGAGCUCUCUCGGUGCUGACGCGGAGUUAAAAAUGAAUCUCGCUGCCUCCCCCAGGCGACUUAAUCGCCAGGAAGAUACUAUCCGGUUGGCUUAUUGUAAGACGGCCCUGGUUGAGGUGCAACCUUCUUGCAGGUGGUAUGGAAUUUGACAGGGCUUAAUGUCCUCAGCUGCAGAAUGAGAGCCCAGGAAACACAAUUUCCUUCCAAGAAUAUCUUCCAGACAGUCCAUGAUGUCUUCUAUGUGAAAUGACAGGGAUGUACAGGAGAAGCAGUGCACCGGAAAUCACACAUCCUCAAGUCUAACUAAAAUUCGCUUUUGCUCUUCCUCCCCCAACCCCUCCCUUUCAACAAUUGCAUUUGCAAAGUCUUGAGUUUCAAUCGUUUGUUUACUUGUUUGUCUCUACCUCUAGACUGGGAUCUUUCACAGGGCAGGGUCCACCUCUUUCUCACCUGUGUUUCCUCAGCAGCUUAUGCAAAGCCCAGCACACAGCUCUAGUGCUCUAAGUGUGGGUGGGUUGGUGGGGUCAACUAAAGCAGCAGAGGUUUCAUGGCUGUGUGUGGUUGGCACAAGGGGAAGCAAUGUGGGAAAGCGUGGGUUUGACAUACUUGGGUUCAAACCUGUCUUGAGCCAUUUUCUAGUUGUGGGCCUUGGACAAUUUACUCUUUGAGUCUCUAUUUCUUAAUUUUAACAUGGACUUAGUGGAUUCUUCCUGGUGAGGUUAUUGUGAAAAUUAAGUAAGAUAAUUUAUGCUAUGCACCUCUCAGAACACCUGGCACAUGGAAGUUGCUCCUUUUAGUGCUGUGCUGUGUUGGUCCUGUGGCCACCAUGCUACAGGUUCAAAGCAAAGGCAGGGGAGAUUAGCAAUUUGAUUGCUCAUCCAUUACAAAAUAUAUAGAGAUACUUUGGUCUGCAUUUUGUAGGGGGUAUAUUAAUUUUUGGCUCCAUUUGACCACUGACCUCAGAACUAAGCAGACUUUCAAUUGGCAGUCUUGUCAGCUGUGUCCUGCAGUGACAAGUAGGCAAUAAAGAAUUUUCUGUGUCUGUGCAGAGAGGUGCAGUGCAGGUUUGCUGCAGUGAGUCUGCAGGCAGACAGUCUGGCUGUGGGAGGGAGACUGUUAGUAUAUUAACACACCCAGCCUGGAAAGGGCACCAGAACAACAUUGGCUUUUGACUUUAAAGCUGACUCUGUCAUUCUCCUUGGGCCCCUCCCACACCAAUUAGAAAAGUGCUGUCAGAGGAGUCUUGGGGACUGCUCCCCAGUCUCUGUGGUCUCUGUGACUUGGGACAAGGGGCAUUACCUACAGGUGACUGCCUCUAUAGAACUCCCUUCUAUCUGCAGAAGAGGGAAAGUAAGAGACAGGGAAUUCUGAUGGGGAAGGCAUUCAGAUUUACUACCAGGGUCAUAAAAAUUGUUUAAUUUAUUUGAAAGGUGGAAAGACACAUAGAGAUCCUCUAUCCCGUGGUUCGUUCCCCAAAUGUCUGUAAUGUCUGGGGCUGGGCCAGGCCAAAGCCAGGUGCCAAGAACUCAGUCUGGCCCUCCCACAUGUGUUGCAGGGACCCAAGCACUUGCACCAUCAUCUGCUGCUUCUCAGGGCGUGCUUUAGCAGAAAAUUGCUGUCAGGAGCACAGUGGGGAUUCACCCCGGGCACUCUGAUGUAGGAUGUGGAUGUCCCCAGUGUGGUCUUAACUACUAGGCCAAAGGCCAGACCCAAAUCUGGGACUUUCUGAGUCAAGAUCAGUAUUACUUGAUGUUGGGGUUUAAAUAUAUAAACAGUAGAUGAAUUUCUAACCCUCUGGUUGAGUUUGUUUUAUUAUUUUUUUUUGGUAAGUAAAUUUUUUCUCCAGGAGAAAUAAAAUUAUAGGAAAUUAAAAAAAUUUAGUUUUUCUGUCCUAAUGUCAUAAUAAUUGUCUUAAAUAAUUAUAAUAGUAGUUAUCCUUUAUGGAAUAUUUAACAUAUGUUAAAUACUACACUAAAUGCUUUCUAUAUAUAACAUCUCUAUUUAUUUUAAAGAUUUUUUUGAAAGUUACAGUUACACAGAGAGAGAAGGAGAGGCAGAGAAAGGGAGAGAGAGAGAGAAAGAGAGAGAGAGAGAGGUCUUCCAUCCACUAGUUCACUCCCCAAUUGAACGCAAUGGCUGGAGCUUCGCCAGUCCAAAGCCAGGAGCCAGGAGCUUCUUCCAGGUCUCCCGCAUGGGUGCAGGGGCCCGAAGACUCAGGCCAUCUUCUACUGCUUUCCCAGGCCAUAGCAGAGAGCCGGAUAGGAAGUGGAGCAGCCGGGACUUGAACUGGCACCUAUAUGGGAUGCCGGCAAUACAGGUGGCAGCUUUAUCUGCUAUGCUGCAGCGCCGGCCCCACAUCUCUUAUUUUUAAAACAAUCUUAUUUUUACUUGUAGCUAGAAACCUAAGAAAGGCCACAUCUUUAACUUCACCCCAAUAUCUUUUCUUUAACACUGUUUACCUAAAAUGAAUAUUCUGCCUUCUGAGCCCUCAUGGCUACAUCUGCAGGCUCACUGUUGCAUUAAAUACAAUUUCAGCUGUGAGCUCAGUGUGGGAGCAAAGAUGGAGAGGCUGUAGUCCAUCACUAUGGGUGAGUGUGCAGGGACCUUUUGUGUUUUGGUUUAUAUUCAAGGUGAGUGAGGAUGCAAAGGUCCUGACUGUCAGAAAGGGACCACGGUAGAGUGCUAUUCUGUGAAACUGAGGCACUUGCUAGUUCUUGAAGCAGUAGAGGCUCAAGGAAGCAACGGGUUUUAGAAAGCACGUAGAUUAAUGUAUCCAAGUGGUUUUGCCAUGGAUACCAGAACCAAGGCUCCUAUGCCAGCACCUCUUCUUUUGUCCCUUGGUCCUGUUUCUCCCAAGGACACCUUUUUUUCCAAGCCCUUCUAGGUGUCUUCACCAAUCAACUGGGUGAUGUGUGGUGCCACCCCAUCCACCAUUCGAGUACCCCUCUCUCCCACGUGCAGAUGGGAUGGUGGUGUGGGAGAGAGAAGAGGUGCCUGAUGUGUGCUGACUGGGUUUCUCUCUUUCUGCCACCAACUAGUUGUGAGCCUUUGGGGAAAUCAGUUCAUCUUUCUGGGAGUCAAUUUCCUUAUCUGCAAAAUGAGGGCUUGGACCCACAGGUCUCUUAAGAGAGUGUUGUUACAGGAAGUUUGAGUGUUCAGAAUGGGGAAAACUCGUAAGCUCUAGCAGAAAGCACGCUAUUGGUGUUGGGGACAGGCUUUUGGAUUAACUGGGCCUGGCUUGAAGGACUGCGAUCAUGCCUGUGUUUGUAUCAUUUGAAUAUUGCUGCUGUCUCUCAGAGAUGGAGUGCAUGUCUUCAUUUUUCAGAUGAAGAGAGCUGAGGCAUAUUUGGCUAUGGGCUGACCAUGGAUCAUUACUGCUGAUUACUUAAUUUGCAGGGCUAAUGCAUUGCCAAUGAGUGGCAGCUGAUGUGAUGGUAGCCAGGAAUAAUUGCCAGCAAAUGGAGAGGUCUGUCCUGUUUUGCUUUAUGAAAGUGAGUCAGCCCUAGCAGAGGCUCAUGCGGCUUCUAAUGAAUUUUGUUAAGUUUGGAGAAAAAUUGGACUGUAGAUCAAUUGUGGCAUGUUUCCUCCCAACAUUUCUCACCGAAAAGGUGCUAAAAUUCUGAAAUGAGCAAAAAUUAAAAAUAUCUGCUUUAUUCAGGAGGAAAAUUGUCUCUUACGGAGAUGCUCCUUGAAGAAUAUCAGCUUCUUGAUUUGACUCAGUCAUUUGGCCAAUGAGCUCCUUCAUCCACCUUGCUUUCCUUUCUUUCUCCAACUCAGUUUUUAAAACAUAUUUAUCUAUUUAUAUUUGAAAGGCAGAGAGAGGCUGAGGCAAAGAGAGAGAGGUCUUCCAUCUGCCGGUUCAUUCCCCAGAUGGCCACAACAGCCGGAGCUGCACCAAUUUGAAGCCGAGAGCCAGGAGCUUCUUCUGGGUGUCUCACCUUAGUGCAGAGGCCCAAGGACUUGGGCUAUCUUCUACUGAUUUCCCAGGCCAUAGCAGAGAGCUGGAUUGGAAGUGGAACAGCCGGGACUCGAACUGGCGCCCAUAUGGGAUGUCAGUAUUGCAGGCGGCAGAUUUAUCUGCUACGCCACAGCACCAGCCCUUCUCCAAGUCUUUUUUACAUGUUUGUUCUUAAUUCUUUCUUGUCUGGGAUGAAAAGAUAACUUUCUUUCUCUGUGCCCACCCUUCCACCUGUAAACUGAAAUUGUUUUUCUGGUUUUAAAAGUGUUGCAUGUUUCUGGUAGAUAAUUUGGAAAAUAUGGAGAAGUAAAAGAAGAAAAUAAUAAUCACUCAGAAUUCCACCACCUGCUAACAUUUUGAAGUCUUUCUGAUGUUUUUCUUGGCAUAUUUAUUUUUAAAAAUUUUUUAUUUUUACUUUUUUAUUUAAUGAAUUCAUUUUUUUUCAUAGAUAUGACUUUAGGAAUACACUGGUUCUUUCCCCCUUAUCUCUGCCCCCCUCCAAUCCCACCUCCCCUCUCCCUCUCCCAUCUCCUUCUUCAUUAUGGUUCAUUUUUAGUUUGACUUUAUAUACAGAGGACCAACUCCAUGCUAAGCAUAGACUUCAACAAUUUGCACCCACGCACACACACAACAUAUAGAGUGCCAUUUGGGAACAAAAUUUGCAGUUGAUUCUCAUAGUACAACUCAUUAGGGACAGAGGUGCUAUAUGGGGAGUAAGAUGGCAUAUUUCUUAAAAUAAAAAAAAUUGGAUAUAGCUUAGAAGCUUUAAAAAAAAGUCAUAGCGAGAGCAUUUUCCAUGCCUAUUAGACAUUUUUGGAGAGCUGUUCUGGGGACUACCACAUUUUGCCGUAGGAUGCUUUAUGAUUUGCUGUGCCCUCCUGCUUUCCUCUGGAGCUUGGUUUUGCCCCCUGUGCUCAUGAGCUGAUCCUUUCUUGGCUCCCUGAGUGUGCUCUUCAGUCAGGCCUGUGCGCCUCCAUCACUACAGCCACGCUGUGCAUCAGCACCCUCCCCGUGUCUUCUCACAUCUCCAGGCACACAGCGCGUCUCUAUUCUUGUCUCUUACGGGCCAUAUCCAGAGACCUAUUGACUUACAUAUUUUUGUAUUUUUAGAUGUUCCUUGUUUCAGUCUUUUUUUUUUUUUUUUUUUUUUUUGACAGGCAGAGUUAGACAGUGAGAGAGAGAGAGAGAGACAGAGAGAAAGGUCUUCUUUCCGUCGGUUCACUCUCCAAUUGGCCAAAUGGCCGCCACGGCUGGCGUACUGCACUGAUCCAAAGCCAGGAGCCAGGUGCUUCUCCUGGUCUCCCAUGCGGGUGCAGGGCCCAAGCACUUGGGCCAUCCUCCACUGCCCUCCUCGGUCACAGCAGAGAGCUGGACAGGAAGAGGAGCAACCAGGACAGAAUCUAGCACCCCAACUGGGUCUAGAACCUGGGGUGCCGGCACUGUAGGUGGAGGAUUAUCCUAUUGAGCCGGGGCACCAGCCAAGUCUCUGUUGUUUUUAUAUCACAGUGUUCUGGACUGAGUCUUUGGGUGUCCCACAAAUUCAUAUGUUGAAGUCUUAACCCCUAAUGUGGGAGUAUCUAGGGGUGGGGACUUUAGGAGUUAAUUAGGUCAUGAAUAAGAUCAGCACCCUUCUAAGAAGAGACAGGAGAGGAUGUGUCUCUCCUUUCUCUCUGCUCCCUGCCAUCUAAGGAUCUACUCAGAAUGAUGACAUUUGCAAGUCAGAAAGAGGCCCUAUGAAGAACCAAGCUGGGCUGGCACCCUGACCUUGACAUCUCACUCUCCAGAGCUGUGAGAAGAGUAUGUCUGUUGUACAAAUCACGCAUCUAUGGUACUAUAUUAUAAUAGCCCAGACUGGCUGAGCCACACAGAAAAUCUAAAGCACAGCAGGACUCCAACAAUGCUCAGGCCUCCACCAAGCUUCCCAGCCUCAUCUGCUCUCUGCAUGCACCCCAUGAGCUGAUCUCACAUUGCACAGGUACACCGGGCAUCCUGCUCAUGAGUUCCCUUCUGGUUGGCUGUCAUCUAAACCAGUGAUAGGAACGUCAAACCUCUUCCCUGUGGCCCCACACGAAAUAACGUCGAUCCACUUAGUACUCUUUAAGCAAAGAUCAGCUAGCCUUUUGUUUAGGUAGGGAAUUGUUGUCUGUCGCAGCCCGGGCAUCUCCGUCCUAUCUCCUGGGGUGUUGUUCCUGGUCAAGUUGAUGCACUGGAGUAGAUCAGACAUGCUGCAUUGCCACGUUGCAGUGUCUACCCUCUUGGAGCAAAGAGGGAGGUGACUUUGUCAGGUCCUUAUGUUUGUGAACUCACAGUUGUUCCUGGGAAUCACUGCUGCCCUUUCCAUCAAAUCCUUUAAAAAAUUACUCUAUGUGUGCAGACUUUUCUUUGUCCAUUAAAAAAAAAGUGAACGUACCUGUGUUAUUUACUGAUGCCCGUAAAGUGGCAGAAGGAAGCUGCAGACUACCAGUCUAGGGAGAACUGGAAUUGGGGCUGUGGUCUUUGUAGGCAUUUUCUGUGCAGAGGACUCAGUUCAGUGCUUUCUCUCUCUUCUGUGGUUCUUACCUAAGGUCUGAUGCCCUCUCCCAUGCUGCAGCUACUUGCAUAGGGUGUGCUAGGCAGAAAAUUGCCCCCCAAAUAUAUGCAUGUUCCAAGCCCUUGACCCUGUGAGUAUGUCGCCUUGCAGGGGAAAAGGACUUUUCCAGUAUGAUUGUUUUAAAAGUUUGAGAUGAGGAGGCAAUGUGGAUUAUUCAGGUAGGCACAAUGCAAUUAUAUUUGGUCCUUCAAGAGACAGAAAAAGGUUUGAAGAUGGACGAAGGGGCCAUGAAUCAAGGAUGCAGGCAGUGUCAGGGAACAUAGCACUGCUGACAUCUGGAUUUUAGCCCUGACCCAUUUCAGACAUCUGAUGUCCAGACCUGUGGAUAACAAAUCUGUGUUGUUUUAAGUCACCAAAUUUGUGAUAGUUUGUCACAGCAGCACUGUGAAACCUGUAAGUAAGUGGUCAAUAGUGAUUUUAAAUUCUUGAGAUUUAAAAAAAGGCCUUAGUGACUGUCUACCCAAAUCUCUAAUUUUGAAUCCCUUUUUUGUUGCUCCUGACAAAGAGGAAGCCUAUGAGCUUUGGGACUGGGGGAGAACAGUGCACUUAGAAGGAAAUGGGGGAGUGGUCAUAUGAUGAGUAUCUGGAGAUGCAGUUACGAUAGCAGUCACUUUAUGCAUUUAAAGUGUAUAGUUCAAUGGUUUUUAGUGUAUUCAAAGUGUUGUACAGCUAUCACCACAAUUGAUUUUGGACAAUUUCCUCAAAGAAACUUUCCAUCCAUUAGCAGUCCCUCUCCAUUUCCUUCUGCCCUCUCUGGUCCCUGGCUAACAAUAACCUACAUUCUAUCCCUAUAUAUUUACCUGUUCUAGACACUUCACGUGAAUGGAAUCAGAGAAUAUAUGGCCUUUGUGUCUGGCUUGUCAACUAACACAGUUUUUUUUUUUUUAAAGAUUUAUUUAUUUAUUUGAAAGAAUUACAGAGAGGCAGAGGGAGAGAGAGUCUUCCAUCCACUGGUUCACUCCCUAGAUGGCCACAACAGCUGGAGCUGGGCUGAUCUGAUGCCAGGAGCUUCUUCUGGGUCUCCCACUUGGGUGCAGGGGCCCAGGACUUGGGCCAUCUUCCACUGCUUUCCCAGGCCACAGCAGAGAGCUGGAUCAGAAGUGGAGCAGCUGGGACACAAACCAGUGCCUAUAUGGGGUGCUGGCUCUGCAGGUGGUGGCUUUACCAGGCUACGCCACAGCACUGACCCCACUUAGCACAGUUUUCAAGGCUCAUCCAUGUUGUAGCAUGUAUCAGAACUAGUCCUUUCUGUUGUUGAAUACUCCCUUGUAUUGUAUGGGAUUUAUUUCAAUUACCUAUUCAUCAGUUGGUGAACAUUUGGAUUGUUUGUGCUUUUUGACUUUUAAAACUAUUUAUUUGAAAAGUAGAGUUACAGAGAGAGAGAGAGAGAGAGAGAGAGACGGAAAGAUAGAGAGAUCUUCCACCCACUGGCUUACUCCCAAAGUAGGGCUGGACCAGGCUGAAGCCAGGAGCCAGGAGCUUUUUCCAAGUGUCCCAUGUGGGUGGCAGGUGUCCAAGUACCUGGACCAUCCUCUGCUACUUUUCCAGGUGCAUUAGCAGGAAUCUGAAUUGGAAGUGGAGCACCCAGAACCUGAACUGACACUUGUAGAGGAUGCCAGCACUGCAGGUGGCAGCUUAACCUGCUGUUCCACAAUGCCAGCUCCUGCAUUUGGCUUUUAUUGAAUAACACUGUUACGAAUGCUUACAUAUGGAUUUUUGUGUGGUGCUAUGUUUUCAUGUCUCUUAGAUAUAUACCUAGGAGUGGAAUUGCUAGGGCACCUGGUAACCCUGUGUUUAACCCCUUGUGGAACUGCAAGGAUUGUUUUCCAGAGCAGCCGCCCUAUUUAUCCUUCCAUCAAUGUCUGAGAAAGCAUCAGCGAUAGGAACUCUUGCUGGCCUCUCAAAGUCGUAUAAAGGACACAAAAUGCAAAGUUGAGUGAGAAAGAGAGGUCUGGAGGUUUCUAGGAGUAAAAAAGUAUCAAAAAAAUUUGUGCCCACAGAGUUUGCCUGGAAACUCUUGAGUGAUAUCUGGAUUCUUUUUUCGAGAGCAACAAUUCAUAUUGGCCAAAUUCCCUUGACAACUGGCUUCAGUAAAUUAUUUUGAUGGUUUUAGUGCUUGGUUUUCUUGCAAUCCAUGUGAUUAUUUUGUGAUUAUUUCUGAAAAAUUCUGAUGACUAAUGCCUCAGAGGAGCUUCUUGGACCAUGACACAGUGGAGCAGAACUGUGUGCCCCAUCUAAACAAACAUACGCCAUUAUUUGAAGUUAAAAACAACAUCAGUUCAAGGUGAACAACAUUCUGAAGGUUUUAUGAGUUUGCUGGUGCUUCCAUAAUAAAUUAGCACAGACUGAAUGACUUAGACAACAGAAAUGUAUCUUCUUGCAGUGCUGAAGCCUGGAGGAGAUUUGGAAUCAAGACGCCGCAGGGUGAGCUUCCUCUGAGGCCGCCCUCCUUGGCUUGCAGAUGUCCUCUCCCUGGGUCUUCACAUGCCUUCCCUCUGUGUGUCUUCUCCUCUUCUUCCUCCUCUUCUUCUUGGGAAUGAAAAUUAUUUUAAAUUAACAUAAUAAUUGUCCAUAUCUAUGGGGUAUAGUGUGAUAUUUUGAUACAUGGAUUAAGUGUAUAAGAUCAAAUUAGGGAAUUAGCACACCUAUCAUCUUGAAAUAUAUAGUUUUGAAAUUUAUAAUAAGUUACAGUUAAUUGUUGAUCUAUGCUACGGAGUAUAGAUUUUACUAAUCCUGUUUACUAGAUUUCUGUACCUGAUCACCAGCUUCUAUCUUCCUUUUUUUUUUUUUUUUUUUUGACAGGCAGAGUGGACAGUGAGAGAGAGAGACAGAGAGAAAGGUCUUCCUUUGCCGUUGGUUCACCCUGCAAUGGCCGCUGCGGCCAGCGCGCUGCGGCCAGCACCCCGCGCUGAUCCGAAGGCAGGAGCCAGGUACUUAUCCUCGUCUCCUGUGGGGUGCAGGGCCCAAGUACUUGGGCCAUCCUCCACUGCACUCCCUGGCCACAGCAGAGAGCUGGCCUGGAAGAGGGGCAACCAGGACAGAAUCUGGCACCCCAGCUGGGACUAGAACCCGGUGUGCUGGUACCGCAGGCGGGAGGAUUAGCCAAGUGAGCUGCGGUGCUGGCCUUCUAUCUUCCUUUACCCUUCCCAGCCUCUCGUAACCCCUGUUCUACUCUCUACGUCUAUGAGAGAAACUUACUCAACUCCCACAUACCAGUGAGAACAUGCAGUAUCUAUCUUUCUGUGCAUGGCUUAUUUCACUUAAUAUAAUGUCCCCUGGGCCUAUCCACAUUGCCACAAAUUACAGGAUUUCAUUCUUUUAUGGCUGAAUAGUAUUCCAUUUUAUAUACUUGCCUUUCUCCAUUCAUCUGUUGAUGGAUAACUAGGCUGAAUUCAUAUCUUGGCUAUUAUGAAUGCUGCAAUAAAUGUGGGAAUGCAGGUAUCUUUUUCCUUUGGAUAAAUACUAUUGGGAUUGCUGGACUAUAGGGUAGUUCUUUUACUUUUUUUGAGGAACUUCCAUACUGUUUUCCAUAAUAACUGUAUUAACUUACAUUCCCAUGAAAAACAUAUUAGAGUUCCCCAUUUUGUACAUACUAAUCAGCACUUGUUAUUUUUUGUCUUUUUAAUAAUGACCAUGCCAACUGGGGUGAAAUGAUAUCUCAUUGUGAUUUUGAUUUGCAUUUCUCCAAUUUGUGCUGUUGAAUAUUCUUUCAUAUACUUGUAAGUCAUUUGCAUGUCUUUUUUUAAAAAAAGUUUUAUUUAUUAAUUUGAAAGUCAGAGUUACAGAGAAAGAGAGACAGAGAGAGAAAUCUUCCAUCCUCUGAUUGAAUUCCCAAAUGGCCACAAUGGCUAGGGCUGGACCAGGAUGAAGCCAGGAACCAGGAGCUUCAUCUGGGUUUCCCAUGUGGGAGGCAGAGGCCCAAGCACUUGGGCCAUCUUCUGCUGCUUUCCCAGGUGCAUUAGCAGGAAACUAGAUUGGAGUGUAGCAGCUGGAACACAAGCCAGUACCCAUAAGUAGUGUUGGGUUUGCGGAUAGCAACUUUACCCACUAUGCUACGAUACUGGCCACCAAAUGUAUGUCUUUUGAGAAAUGCUUAUUCAGAUGAUUUUCCCAUUGUCAAGUUAGAUCAUUUAUAUUUUUGUCAUUGAGUUGUUUGAGUUCCUUAUAUAUUAAUUCUGAAUAUUGUUGGGUGAAGAGUCUGCAAAUUUUUUCUUCUACUCUGUAGAUUGUCUCUCUCUCUCUCUCUCUUUUUUUUUUUUUUUUGACAGGCAGAGUGGAUAGUGAGAGAGAGAGAGACAGAGAAAGGUCUUCCUUUUUGCCAUUGAUUCACCCUCCAAUGGCCACUGUGGCCGGUGCAUCGUGCUGAUCCGAAGCCAGGAGCCAGGUGCUUCUCCUGGUAUCCCAUGCAGGUGCAGGGCCCAAGGACUUGGGCCAUCCUUCACCGCACUCCCGGGCCAUAGCAGAGAGCUGGCCUGGAAGAGGGGCAACCAGGACAGAAUCCAGUGCCCUGACUGGGAUUAGAACCCGGGGUGCCGGCGCCGCAAGUGGAGGAUUAGCCUAGUGAGCCGUGGCACAGGCCUAGAUUAUCUCUUAAUUCUAUGGAUUUCUUCCUUUGCUGUGGAGAAGUUUUUUGGUUGACACAUUUCCAUUUGCUUAUUUUUGCUUUGAUUUCCUGUGCUUUUGGAGUUUUCUUAAGAAUCAUUGCCCAUACCGGUUUCCUGAAGUGUUUCCACUAUAUUUACUUCUAGUAGUUUUAAUAAGCCAGUCCUGAAAAGACAAAUAUCGUAUGUCUUCCCUGAUCUGUGGUAACUAAUGGAGUACCUAAAAGGUAAUGUAUAGGAGUGAAAUUGAUAUUUUGAGAUUUAAUGAUAGUUUACAGCCUUUGUCUCGACUGUUGAGAAGCAAUGGCUUUUUCUUCGUAGUAUUUGUUGACCUCUUUACUUAGUGUAGGGUUAACUUUAUAGUAUGAAGUAAACUGAAAAUACAUCUUUGUACAAAUUAAGAGUGGGGAUAGGAGAGGAAGGAAGAGGAAGGGAAGGAGUGUGGGUAGGAGGGAAGUAUCACUAUGCUUGAAUCUGUGUAUAUGAAAUACAUGAAAUUUAUAUACCUUAAUUAAAACUUUAAAAAGUUUUAGGUCCUAUUAGAUUUUCAAGUAUUUUCAGUUGAUUUUUGUAUAUGGUGAGAAGUCUAGUUUCAUUCUUUUACAAAUGGAUAUCCAGUUUCCCAGUACCAUUUAUUUAUGAGCCUGAGCUGCCUCCAAUGUAUGUUCUUGGUAUAUAUGGUACGCCAGUAUAUGGUAAAUAAGUGGAUUUAUUUCUGGUUUCUCUACCCUGUUCUGUUGCUGUAUGUCUUUUUGUGCUAGUAACAUGCUGCUUUGGUUACUAUCGCUUUGUAGUAUAUUUUGUAGCAUUGUAAUCCCUCCAGCUUUAUUAUUUUUCUCAGGGGCUUGUCUAUUUUGAGGUCUUUUAUGAUCCCAUAUGAAUGUUAUGGAUGCUUUCCCCCCUAUUUCUCUGAAGAGUGUCAUUGAUUUUUUGUUAGGAAUUGCAUUCAAUCUGUAAAUUGCUUACGGUAGUGCAGAUAAUUUAGCAGUAUUAAUUCUUACAAUCCACGAACAUAGCAUAUCUUUCCUUUAAUGUGUGCCCUCUUCAAUUUCUCCAUCAAGGUUUUGUAGUUUUAUUUCUAGAGAUCUUUCACCUGCAUGGUUAAGUUUAUUCCCAGGUAUUUGUUUUCUUUUCAUUAUUGUUGUAUAGAAACACUAUUGCUUUUGUAUGUCUAUUUUGCAGUUUUCAUCUUUACAUAAUUUAUCAAUUCUAGUGUCUUCUUUUUUAAAAUAUGUAAUGUCAUGUCAUCUGCAAGCUGGACAGUUUGAUUUCCUCCUUUUCAAUUUGAAUGCCCUUUACUUUUUUUUCUUGUUUUUUGUUCUGGCAAGGACGUCCGUACUAUGUUAAAUAAAAGUGAUAAAAAUGAGCAUCCUUGUCUUGUUCCAGAUCUUAGAGAAAAAGCUUUCAACUAUUUCCUUUUCAGUGUGAUGUUAACUGUGGCCUUUAUUGUGUUGAGGAAUGUUCCUUAUAAACCUAUUUUAUUCAGAGUUUUUAUCAUGAAGGGGGCAGGCAUUUAGUGUAGUGGUUGAGCUGCUACUUGGGCCCCCACUUCCCAUAUCAGAGUGCCUGGGUUUGAAUUCUGGUACCGUUCCUGACUGCUAAUGUGUACUGUGGGAGGCAGAAGAUAAGAACUGAAGGGACUGAGUCUCUGUAACCUACGUGUGAGACCUAGAUUCAGCUUGCAGCUCCCAGCUUGGCUUGUCUCAACUCUGGAUUUUGGGGAGUGAACCUGCAGAUGAAAGAUAUCUGUCUUUGUCUCUCUCUCUCCCUCUAAUAUAAUAUAAUAAUAAUAAUAAUAUAAUAAUAAUAUAAUAAAAGAAGUAAAUAUCAUAAAGGAAUGUUGAACUUUAUCAAAUGCUUUCUCUCAUUUAUUUAGCACUUGAUGUUUGUCCUUUAUUCUGUUAAUGUGAUUUAUCAUGUUUAUUGAUUUCCAUAUUUUGAGCUAUCUUUGCAUCACUAGGUUAAAGUCCACUUCUAAUUUCCCACACUUAAGAGAAAUUAUACUAUCCCACCCUUAUGAUCUCAUGCAACCUUAACUACCUCUUUAAAGUCCUCCAAAUACAGCCAUGUUUUGAGGUACUAAAGAUUAGGACUUAAGCAUACGAAGUUUUUUUUGAGGGCACAUAAUUCAGCUCAUAGCAAAACUCAUUAUAAAAUUGUACUUACUAUACCAAAAGGGACUGGGUUAGUAUGGAAAAACAUUUAAAAAAAUAUAUAUACUAUUCAUAUUGUAUGUCUUUGUAUGUGCCUCAGAUUCCUUUUUUUAAAGAUUUAUUUAUUUGAAAGAAGAAUUAGAGGAAGUGACAGAGAAAGGGUUGGCGGGGGGAAGAGAAGAGAAGAGAAGAGAAGAGGAUAUCCUCCAUCUGCUGGUUCACUCCCCAAAUGGCUAAAAUGACCAGGGCUGGGCCAGUCCAAAGACAGGAGCCUGGAACUUCAUCUGGGCCUCCCAUGUGGAUGGUAGGGGCUGAAGCACUUGGGCCAUCUUCUGCUGCCUUCCCAGGCACAUUGGUAGGGAGCUGGAUUGGAAACAGAGCAGCUAGGACUUGAAGUGGCACUUGUAUGGGAUGCUGCAUCACAGGCGGCAGCAUUAUCCUCUGUACCACAGUGCUGGCCCCUCUCAGCAUCUUAAUGAACAUGACAAGAUAUUUAUUCUUGGUGCAGGAACAUCUUUCAGGAUAAUGUGACACUUAGUGUAGGCCCCAGAAAAAGUUAAGUGGAUGCAUUUUUAGUUGCCCUUUCUACAUUUACCCUGCAUGCACAUCACAGUGAAAGGCUGGUAUACCCUUUCUAUCAGAAUCUGUUCUCAGUACCUGCAACUUAUUCUCACUAUAAUACAAAUGUCUGCUUUAUGUUUCAUUUUGCCAGAAUCUCCAGCCCUAAGCCUAGGAAUCCUGCUUUGAAGGAAUUUUAGGGACCAGAGGAUAAAGAAGGCAUUUUCUGAAGUCCCCUAUCAGACCUAUGGGUAUCGCCCCACUCGGACCAAUGGUGACUCACCCUUUCACAAUGUCAGUCCUGCUUAGAACUCAAAUUAACGCACUUACUUAAAAUCAAGUCCAACUUCCAGAGAUAGAUAUCAUGCAACAACAACAACAACAAGAAUCCUUAGCCCUAUUUUCACGUAUCUGUGUUGCUCAUAACAACAAUAUAAUCUUUAACAUGAGUCAAUAUGUGCUGUCUCCCAUUUUCAGUUUUCAUCUGCCUCCUGCAUGUACCAAAGAACUGACCUAGCAACUCUUUUUUUUUGUUUUGACAGGCAGAGUGGACAGUGAGAGAGAGAGACAGAGAGAAAGGUCUUCCUUUGCCGUUGGUUCACCCUCCAAUGGCCGCCGCGGCCGGCGCGCUGCGGCCGGCGCACCGCGCUGAUCUGAUGGCAGGAGCCAGGAGCCAGGUGCUUUUCCUGGUCUCCCAUGGGGUGCAGGGCCCAAGCACCUGGGCCAUCCUCCACUGCACUCCCUGGCCACAGCAGAGAGCUGGCCUGGAAGAGGGGCAACCGGGACAGAAUCCGGCGCCCUGACUGGGACUAGAACCUGGUGUGCCGGCGCCGCUAGGCGGAGGAUUAGCCUAGUGAGCCGCGGCGCCGGCCUGACCUAGCAACUCUUGAGUGUUGACACUGUUAGGAGUGAUCAGCUUGGCUUGGGGUAGGGUCAGGAACUGGCUUUCAUGCUGGGUUCCUGUCUACAAAACUGGUGCUGUCAAUCACGUCGGCUACAAAUUCCAACAUCAAAAGGACUCACUUGUCUGAAGAAGAUGCGCGCUGUUAAGUUAGGGCAAGAAAUGAUAGCCAAGGAUGAAAGCCUGAAUAUAUUUGAUCCUCACAAUUUCAGUGAUUGGAGUGAUGAUUGGCAGUCUUUGUUGUCUCUUCCCCUCUCAUCGCUGAAAAUGUGUCUGAUUCAAUGGGAAAGUCCUUCAAAAUCCAUAUAAAAGAAUUUGUCAGAACUUUUUGAGUGUAUAAAGGCCUCAUUGGUCUGUAAGAGAAAAUAAUUAGAAUCUUUGUAUUCUGGAAAAUUUGCUCAGAAGCAUAAUAAUUGCGGAGGAAAAAUGGAAAAAAUCUCUUCAGACUGUUCUGAUCUCACCAAUAUUAAAUUUUGUCUCAGAAAGUGAAGUCUGGCAACGAACAUGUUUUAGGUAGAAAUGAUUUUCUUGCCCAGCUCUAGAGACAACUUCAUAGUGAAAGGCUGAGAUUCACUUAAUGAAGGCCUAAACCUCCAUCUCUUAUGUUAUGAAACUCUUCAAGAUUUAUAAUCCUAAUUUAUAUAAAGAAGUCAAUAUGUCACUUGUUACUGUUAUGACAAAAUAACAUAAUAUAAUAGAAAAAGCUUGUAAAAACCAGCACAUAAUUAUCAGAUUAUUUUCCCUUGGUUCCAGAUCUCUUAAAAAAAGAAACCCGAUUCUUAUUAUGAGCCUUUUGAAGAGUAGAAAGAAUACUGAAAUUAACAUUCAAUUAUUCCUCAUUUAUAUUUAAUAAUUGCUAACAUUUAUUAUAUUUACCUAAUCUCUUUUUAGUUGUGUAUUUUUCUGGCUAAAUAAUUUGAAGUAAUUCACAGAUAAAGCAUUAUUUUAACUCACAUUAUUUAAUAUAUAUCUUCAAAAAAGAAAACAUUCCUCUAUAGUGACAGUAUCAUUUUAAUCUAACAAAAUUAAUAAUAGUUUUCUAAUAUCAGCUCAUAGUUAGUCUGUAUUCAAAUUUCACAGUGAUUUCCAGAAGGCUUUCAAAACUGCCUUGUUCAAACAGGAUGCUAAUUUACUCUGUUAUCAGGGAGCUCCAUUUUCCUGUUGCUGCUCACUUACAGGCUGGCCUGGUUCUGCUGUUUGCCAGUCAGCAGAAUUCAAAUUCCCCAGCAAGUCAGCACAGAAACAUAGUUUAAGCUAACUCAUUAUGUAAACUUAAACAGAUGAAAUCCUCGCAAUGAUUGAUGACUCACAUCUUUCCAGAGAUUGACUGAAGCCUUGAAGUUCUAGUCUUGGGUGCAUUUCAGUGAGUUCACAGGUGGCUAGUUAUCUGAAGGGAAGGAAGAUGACUGGUGAUAGGGGGUCUGGAAGAAUGCAAAGAGGACAACGAUUCAUUUAUGUGUAGAAUCUAAAAUCAUGAACUUCAUAGCAGAAGAGAGUAAAGUGAAGGUUGCCAGGGCUGGGGAUAGGGGAGAAUAGGGCAAUGUUGGUCAGAGGCCUCAAAGACCCAGUUAAUGUAAGAUGGAUACUUUCUGGAGAUGCAGUCUACUUUAUGGUGAGAAUAGUUGACAACAUUGUGUUGCAUACUUCUAAUUUGCUAAGAGGAUAGAUCUUAAAUCUAGUCACCACACAUACACAUGUGCACACACACAAUGUAGAAAAAAUGUAUACAUUCAUUAGCUUGACUGUAGUGACCAUUUCACAAUAUAUACAUAUAUUAAGACAUCCUAUAUACGUACAUAUACAUAAUUUUUCUAUAUUAAAAAUAUCCCAAUAAAUUUAAAUUGUUGUAAAGAUAAAAAUUAGAGUCUGGGGCCGGCACUGUGGCAUAAAGCUGCAGCCUGCAGUGCCAGUAUCCCAUGUGGGCUCUGGUUUGGGUCCGGGCUGCUCCACUUCCGAUCCAGCUUUCUGCUAUGGCCUGGGAAAGCAAUGGAGGAUGGCCCAAGUCCUUGGGCCCCUGCACCCACAUAGGAAGACCCGGAGGAAGCUCCUGGUUCCCGGCUUCAGAUGGGCACAGCUCCAGCCGUUUCAGCCAACUGGGGGAGUGAACCAGCAGAUGGAAGACCUCUCUCUCUCUCUCUCUCUGCCUGUUCUUCUCUCUCUGUGUAAUUCUUUCAAGUAAAUAAAAAUAAAUUAAAAAAAAAAACAACAAAAACUAGAAUCUUAGAAAUCCUGCCAAGUGGCAUGGGCAUAAGAGAAAAAAUAGCUUUGAGAACACAGUGUUAAAUUGAUGAAUAAACUGGGUUUGAUACACAGAGCACAAUUUGUACACAACCGCUCCAGGAUAUGGAAUCUUCCCUACCAUAUUCACAAAAGCCUCAAAACCAUCCACUGCACAGCAAGGAUAAGCUUGUGUCCUGUGCUGUGAGCAGCACUACAGCAACGUUUUGGGACAUUGUCCUUCUUUCUGCUUUUCACAGGAGUAGGUCACCAAGUGUUGCUCACAGAACAGCAAGUAAAACAAGGCAUUCAAGGACGGCCUUGAGUGUCCUAUAACUAAAGCCAGUUUGUUUUAGAAACAACAGUGAUCUAGUAGAUGUGCUUGAGCAGAGGGGCUGAGUUGAUGGUGAGAAGGUAUUUGAAGAAAAGGGAUUUUGCAAGAGAAAGCAAGAUGGACUGGGAGAAAACCAGAUUUGUAAGCCAGAUUCACAUAAAGUGUGAAGUAAAGACUAGACACAGGAGCCUGAAAAAACAAUUUGAAAGACAUGUAACUCCUCGUUAUCUAGGUAAUUAGAUAUAGAAUUCUGGAUUGAUCUGGGUAGAAUGUCAGGGGUGGGAGGAGGGGGAGAGAGAGAGAGGGAGAGAGAGAGAGGAGAGAGAGAGUUUUCUUGAGUGGAGAAAAGCAGGGAAGCUAGAAUUGGGGUGCCUGUUGAAGAACGACACUUUGGAUAAAGAUGGAAUGGCAUUGUCGUUACCUUGUGUAAGUCUAACUUAACUACUUACCAUGGCUCCAUAGAAAUACACAGAUCUGGGUUCAGAUCUCAGCCCCAUUCUUCUAGCUGCAUGACCUUGGGAAAACUAUCCUUUUAAACGUUAGACCCAGACCUGCUGAAUGUGAUGAUAAUUAUGUCUACUUCUCAGGGAUGCUGAGGGGAAUAUAGUCAGUGAAAGCAGAGUGCUAGGUGGAGAGCAACCACACCAUGAAGAGUACCUAUUACUGUGAUAGUUCAUUUCCUGUGGUCGACGGUGCUUCCAUUGCUAUUGAUGAGAGCAUCCCAGAGACAGUGUGUUCAACAUCUCAUUACAUAAAGUGAAAUAAAUAUAAUCCUGCUUGCAUGAUAUUUUGGUCAAGGAAGGACUUCAUGUACAAUGGUGGCCCCUGGCAAAUUCGUGUCACCUGGUGACAUUGUAGCCAUGGUAACGUAGCACAACACAAGGACAGUACGCAGUCAUUAUAAAAGAUGAUGAUGUUACUGGCCCAUGUAUUUACAAUGGUAUGCACUUUUAGCUAUUUUAUAUGUACUCCUUCAAUUUAUUACAAAGAGUUUGCUGUAAAACAGUAUACCAUAUACCACAUUACACCAGCAGCUGCCUGAAACAGCUUUUAUUUAUUGUGUCUCUUGACUGAAUCAAGAGGACACAUUGAGUGAUUGACCUAUGGCAUCUAGGGUUUUUUUUUUUUUAUUCUGAAGAUAUUUGAUUAACAUGUAAUACUUGCUUUUUUUUAAAAAGAUUUUAUUUAUUUUUUUGAGAGGUAGAGUUACAGACAGUGAGAGGGAGACACAGAGAGAAAGUCUUCCGUCUAUUGGUUCACUCCCCAAAUGGCUGCCAUGGCCAGAGCUGUGCCAAUCCAAAGCCAGGAGCCAGGUGCUUUUUCCAGGUCUCCCACGUGGGUGCAGGGGCCCAAGGACUUGGGCCAUCUUCUACUCCUUUCCCAGGCCAUAGCAGACAGCUGAAUUGGAAGUGGAGCAGCCGGGACUAGAACUGGCACUCAUAUGGGACGCUGGCACCGGCAAACGGAGAAUUAACCUACUGUGCCAUGGCACUGGCUCCUAUACUUGCAUAUUUUAUAUAGUGCAGUGCAAUAUGUCAACAUUUGUGUACAGCAUACAAGCUGAUAAAAUCAGGCCAUUAGCGUUUCUACUUCCUUAGCUUUUCUUUAGGAUCGGAGCCCACCAGCUCCUGUCUUCCAAUUCUUUACAUUAUUGUGAACUAUAGUCACUGCACUGUGCUGUGGAACACUAGCAUCUGCUAUUUUAGUUUUGUAAGUACACUCUGUGAUGUUCAUGUGAUGAAUAAAUUGCCUAAUGAUGCACUUUUUAAAAAAGAUUUAUUUAUUUAUUUGAAAGGCAGAGUUACAGAGAGGCAGAGGCAGAGGCAGAGGCAGAGGCAGAGGCAGAGGCAGAGAGAGAGGUCUUCCAUCUGGGGGCUCACUCCCCAGAUGGCUGCAAUGGCUGGAGCUGCACCAAUCUGAAUCCAGGAACCAGAAGCUUCCUCUGGGUCUCCCAUGUGAGUACAGGAGCCCAAGGACUUGGGCCAUCUUCUUCUGCUUUCCCAGGCCACAGCAGAGAGCUGGAUCAGAAGCGGAGCAGCUGGGACUCAGUGCCCAAAUUGUAUGCUGGCACUGUAGGCGGCAGCUUUACCCCAUAUGCCACAGCACUGGCCCCUAAUGAUGCACUUCUUAGAACAGAUUCUUAUUAUUAAGCUAUGCCUGAUUGUCAAGGAGACUUGGGGGUUUAUUGUAGGACAGGGUGGUGUUUUUUUUUUUUUUUUUUGGUCAUGUUUUAAGGAAAACAGUUCUCCCAGGACCCCUGCCUAUCUUUUAAUCCUCUUGCUCCACAGGAGGGGUUGUGCAGUUCAGGGUCUAUGAGGGCGUCCAUGGCUGAAUCCUUUGUUUAUUUUUCCAGAGCCAAACUUUGCAAAGUUCUGCCUUCUGCUGGCACUACUUCCCAAGGUGAGUCCUGGACCCAGCCCACUGACCUGGAGGGUCUCACUGGCACCAGCACCUUUAGCUUAGCCACCAAAGAGAGAACAGUUUCCUCAACUUCCUUGGUGUCCAACUUAGCUUUUUCUCAAGCAAUUUUAUUCUUAUAGGAUUUGUUCUAAACAUUCCAUUUUGUUUGAAAGGCAAAAUCACACAGAUAUAUAGAGAUAGAGAUAGAUAGAGAUCCUCCAUCUGCUGGUUCACUAAGCUGGGUUCAUUAAGCUGGGUCAGGCUGAAGACAGGAGCCAGGAACUCCACCUGGGUCUCCCAUGUGGGUGGCAGGGACCCAAGUACUUGAAUCAUCACCUGCUGCCUUCCAGGGUGCUUGUUAGCAGAAUGCUGGAUUGGAAGUAGAGGUGAGAUUCAAUCCCAGACACUGCGACAUGGGAUGUAGGCUUCCCAAGUGUCGUCUUGAUGUGCUGUAUCACAGUGCCCACCCAUCUUAUUGGAUUUAGAAAACAAGUUAUCUUUGUUUUCCCUCCGGUCUGCACUGCAGUGUUUAGAAGGUCUUUGUCAAUAUCUAGAGGCUGCCAGGAGGUAAGUGAGGGCUGGCUCAAGGUAUUUGCAGAUAGUGGCUGCCUGCUGUCUAGAACAAAAUAGUCUUGCUUUCAGAGUUCAUCCUGAAUGAGAAUCACGUGGGGCAUUUGAGUUUCAGCCUUCUGGUCUUUCAGUCGGGGUGGCCUGUAUGUUUAGUAAAUACCCUGGGUGGUGAUAAUGCAGGUACCCCGGGGAUCACACUUGGGGAGACACUGAAGCCAGUGAAUUUACCCAGAAGGCAGUCAGAGAGAUUGGCUGUCUGGGAAUUGAUUUUUUGUGAAUUGACCAAGGGCUGGGAAACAUUUUCCUACAGAAAAUAGGAUCUUUUCACCAUAGCUUCAGGGAUAAAGAUCUCCACAGUCAUUUCUCAGCUGGACUGGGGGUCUGGUUUCUUUACCUUUACUAUCAAGCCCUUUUGUGGAUACCUCAAAGCUUGUUGGAUGUUUUAAAGAAACCUUUAGAAAUACUAUUUCUUUUUUGGUAUGAGAAAUAAAGUGGUAUUUAUUUGUGUCUCACUUUGUUUUCUUUUCUUUUUUAAAGACUCUUUUAUUUGAAAGUCAGAGUUAGAGAUGGCGGGGUAGGGGGGAGAGAAAGAGAAAGAGAAAGAGAGAGAGAGAGAGAGAGAGAUCUUUCAUCUGCUGGUUCACUCCCAGUGGCUGCAAUGGCCAGGGCUGGGCCAGGCUGAAACCAGGAGCCAGGAACUUUAUCCAGGUCUCUCAUGGGCAGCAGGAGCCAAACACCGGGGCCAUCUUCUGCUUUCUUUCCCAGGCCAUUAACAGGCACGGGAUAGGAGGUGGAGCAGCCAUUGCACAAUAGGGAGCACAUAUGGGCUGCUGUUGUCACAGGCGGUGGCUUUACCUGCUGUGUCACAGCACUGGUCCUCUUUAGCUUCUCAGUUGUUCAGUGAUUUUGGUAAACAUCUGCCCCAGGUAAUCAAGAUAGUCAGACGGUGACAGUAUGCUGGGGAAUCACCCCAAAGAUAUUUACAACAAGCCUAAACACUUCUUUUGCUGAUUCAUUCAUUAAAUAAAUACUUCUGUGGCAAGUAGUUGUGUGAUAGGAACUAUGGUAGGUGCUGAUUAGAUAGCAGUGCACAUACAGGACAUAGUUUCUAUUUUCUAGAGGUUACAAUAUUAGUAGUGGCAUAUCCCAGGGGACUUCAAAAAGUUCAUGGAAAAUGGAAUUAAAAGGGGUGUGCAUGAAGCAUAGUAUUUAAGAUGCCUGGUGGGAUGUCUACAUCCCACAUCAGAGCGCCUGGAUUUGACUGCAGACCCCAGCAUCCUGCGAAUGCAGGCUCUGGGAGGCAGCACUGAGUGCUCCAGUACUUAGUUCCUUGCCAUCCAUGUGAGGACUAUGAAGUGGGUUCCUGGCUCUUUGCUUUGAUCAAGCUGUUGCAGGCAUUUGGGGACGUGAACCAGCUAUUUGCAGCCCUCUGUCUCUCCAAAGAGAAAUGUGCAUUUCCCAUAAGCUUUUUGAAGUACCCUUGCAUUAAUUAAAUCACUAAUUAAGUUGGGGACGUGACAAGGCCUAUGAAAGCCCAGCAGUGACAGUGGGAUUUGACCCCAGUCAAGUGCCAGGUAGAGCUUUGCUGAAAUGCUCACUGAGAUCCAGGUAGCCAGGGAGAAGGAAGGAGAAGCUUUUUGGGCAGGGAGCUACAUGUGGAAGGCCUGCAAUGAGACAGUCUAUGGAGAGCUGAGGGAUUCCAGAGGUUAAGUAGGUCAGUUGAUAAGAUUUAGUGCUGGCUUGGAAGGUGGAAGUAGCAAGGACAAGAUGAUGUCUAGGGUGGUUUUUAGGUUUAUGCCUAUCUACCUGGUUGGUGUAAUACCUGGAUGAUACCAUUCAGAAAGUUAGGAAGAAGCAGGCUUCUUCUUCUGGAGGGUUGGAACAUGGAGAAGUCAUUUGUUUUUUGUCUUUGAUCCUUUGCGGUGCCUUUAAGAUAUCCAAUGGGAGGUGCCAAGUAGGCAGAUGGGCCAAUAGGCAUGGGGCUGCUUGCGGCUAUGAGCCUGACGCAGCAAGCCAUGAGUCCUGUGGGAACUGGUGGAAAUGGAGGCAGUGAGAAUGGGUGAGAUUCUUCAGGGAUGGAGCAGAGGGAGAAGCACUGAAGUCAGAGGACUUAGUCCUGAGGAAUUCUAACACUGAAAGGGCGGGAGAGGUGGAGGUGCUGGCGAAGGGAAGACCGAGGAAGCUCGUUUUCUUCAUGUGAACAGUUUCAAAUCACAAGUCAACUGGAAGAAACCAUUUGUCAGAAGGAGGUUGAAUGUGUAAGAGAGUGAAAUGUUCAAUAAUGAAAUGUGCUUAGAAAGGCAAGCAGGGAUGGGAUCCAAAUUUCUGUGUCCUAGAAAGAUUGUGGUGACACUGUCACAAAACAUUUUGGUUCAAGAUGUUCCUGGAAAAAAUGGAAUUAAAGAGAUAAUUAUUUUGGUGCAAAAAUUUUUGAAAUGGAUUCAUAUGAAGGAUCUUCGAAAAGGUCAUGGAAAUGCAUAUUGUGAAAAUACUAUGUGUGGGUUUUAACUUGUUUGCUCCCAAAUAAACUUUUAAUUCCAUUUUUUUUUCAAAAAGAUUUAUUUAUUUAUUUGAGAGACAGAGUUAUAGACAGAGAGCGAGAGAGAAAGAGAGAGAGGUCUUCUAUCCUCUAGCUCACUCCGCAAAUGGCCACAAUGGCCAGAGCUGGGCUGAUCUGAAGCCAGGAGCCAGGAGCUUCUUCCGGGUCUCCUACGUAAGUGCCGGGGCCCAAGGACUUGGGCCACCUUCCACUGCUUUCCCAGGCCAUUAACAGGGAGCUGGACUGAAAGUAGAGCAGCUAGGACUUGGGAUGCCUGCACCGCAGGUAGAGGCUUAACCUAUUAAGCCACAGUGCAGGCCCCUUAAUUCCAUUUUCCAUGAACUUAUUGAAAUCCCAUGGCAGGAAGCAGGUAUGUAUUACCAGGCUUUUGCAGUUUUUUUGUCCCUGAAGAGUUAGUGUGCUCUGGUCCUGCCUCCCAUCCUGAUACUUCUUGCCUUGGAGAAGUCUUAGGGCACACAGGAGAGCUGUGGGUUUUUGUGUGGGGCAGUUUAUGCCCAACCUUCCUGUCAUCCAGAUGGCUAUCUGGUGUCUGCCUGGCUCUGUACUUCAAUUUGACCUCAAAAUGAAGGGUGUGAAGAGGCCAAUGCUUUUUUUUUUUUAAGUAUUUAAUUUAUUUGAGAGGCAGAGUUAGAGAGAGAGAGAGAGGGAGAGAGAGAGAGGUCUUCCAUCUGCUGGUUCACUCUCCAAAUGGUCACAAUGGCCAGAGCUGGGCCGAUCCAAAACAAAAAGCUGGGAACUUCUUCUGAUUCUCCCACGUACGUGCAGGGACCCAAGCACUUGGGCCAUCAACAGGGAGCUGGGUUGGCAGUGGAGCAGCUGGGACUCAAAACUGGUGCCCAUACAGGAUGACAGCACUGCAGGCAGAUGCUUAACCUACUAUGCCACAGAGCCAGCCCCUUGUUUUUCUUUCUAUUUUUCUCAGCAGAAUUAUCCAGCCAUAUAGAACUGCUAUUUUAAAUUUCAUGAAUCAGCUCUCCCUAAUGAACGAUUUUGGCAUUUUGGGGCAGUUUCUGUGGAAACAGUUUAUAGAGAAUUUGAGGUGAUAGCUGCCUCUUAGGAGACACACUGAUUCCAGCUGCAUUAGCAGUUUGGGUUCGAGAAAGUUAUCAGACAGGAAGCAAUCAUGCUGUAGACAGAAAACAAGCCAGGAAAUUUGAUCCCACUGGAAUUUCAUUGAGAGCCCAUGAUAAUGUUAAAAAAAAAAAGAGAGUAAUUCUGGAAUGGUUGUUCAGAAAGCUGAUUUCUAGAUUUUUUCCCUGCCCAUUUGUAUGUUUUUGGUGCUGAUAAUUAGUGAAUGCUGAUGGAGCACCCAUGUCCAAAUACCUGUGUGACAGACAAAGGUGAACAAGGCACAGUCCGUGUUACCGAGUGUCGGGGGAGAAUGGGUGCACAGCAUAAUGUGAUCAUCUCUAUAAUGCAGGGAAAACAAUAAAACAGUAAUACAUGAGCAGAGGAAGUGAGGGAUGUGACUCUGUGUCUGUGUGUGUUUCUGUGUGCCUAGACAAUUAAGGGUGAGAUUGACAGAGAUAGGGCAAAGACUGAAGCUAUACUAUAAUCAUAGAGUAGAUGGCAUUCAAACUGGACCUUGAAGCAUUGUUGGGGUUUGGCAGGAAGAGAUGGGGUGUGGAGUAUGGGAGGCAAAGGCAGAACACAGGGUAGGUUGGGUGUCUGUUUGACCUCCAAGGCUCAUUUCCACUCCAGGAAUGUAUGGUUUCAUGAAAUGAUCUAGCUUCCUUCCGACUACACAUUAUUCUUGUUGCCUAUUCACUCUCCCCAGACCUAAAUUCUCUCUGGCAAAGUAAUGUGCUUUGAGUUGUGUGCAGGACUUGGCUGGCGGGGCUGGGAUAAAGGCACUGUGGCUGAGUUUGCAGUCCUCUUUGCUCCUGCUUGUGUCAACCAUGGAAAUGAGACCGGAUGUGAGAAUCACCUGGAAGGAGAGCCAGGACGAGGAACGGCAGUGGGGAGUUUCAGAAAGCAACACUGGGCAGGACAGGGCCGCACAAGAAUUGUUUGUUUUUGAGAAGCAAUAGUGCUCAGAAAGCAGCCUGAGCCACAGGCAUUCCGGACUAGAUUCAGAAGCUGGGAGCCCAGGAGAAGGGAGGCCAAAGGGGCAAAGUAUGGCCCAGACUCUCAUGGCUGGUGACGGGGAGGGUGGCUUUUGCUGGGGUCUUGGAGGCCUGAGAUCUAGAAAAUAAGCUGUAAUGUUUUGUUCUGUUGUUUCCUGUUAAUACUCAGAAGUACUAACCAGGAGAGAUCUGGUUUAGACCGGAGAACGGGAACCAGUUGCAGAAACCUCAUUUAUGUGUGAGCCCAUGCCAGGGGUGUACUGAGGAAUGUGCAGUUACGCUCCCAGGCUGAAUCCGUACCUACUCUGCAUCCUGAGAGUCUCUACACAGUGGAGGAUCCUACUGACAGCUGAUUGGACAGGCAGCUGGGGGCAAGGGCUCCUGAUUCCAGAAGCAAAGGCUUAGAAAGAGAAAUGCCCACUGCCUAGAUGGCAGCAGUGGAAAGUUACCCAUGGGCGGUUGCAAAACCUUCAGGGAGUUUUCUUCAUGGGACUUGAUCUGGCUGUAUUUUGUCACUAAAUUCAUUCAUUUGUUAGACAUGUUACAUGUAUAUGUCUUAUUUUUUAUUAUUUAUUUAUUUAUUUGAAAGUUAAAGUUACACAGAGAAAGAAAGAGAGGCAGAGAGAGAGAGAGAGAGAGAGAGGUCUUCCACCUGCUGGUUCACUCUCCAUUUGGCCACAAUGGUUGGAGCUGUGCUGAUCAAAAGCCAGGAGCCAGGAGCUUCUUCCAGGUUUCCCACAUGGGUACAGGGGCCCAAGGACUUGGGCCAUCUUCCACUGCUUUCCCAGGCCAUAGCAGAGAGCUGGAUCAGAAGUGGAGCAGCCAGGACUCAAACUGGUGCCCAUACGGGAUGCCGGCACUGCAGGCAGCAGCUUUGCCUGCUAUGCCACAGCACUGGCCCCUAUGUGUAUGUCUUAUUUAGGUCAUUUGCAUACCAUCUUAUAAAGCUUUUAUUUAUUAUCAUAUAUCACUAAAGUUUAUAAUACUUCCUGGCACAAAAUAGAAUUAGUCUAUCAGCCUGCCUAUUCGUCUGUCUGCCUAUCAUCUCUCUAUUAUCUCUAUGUACGUAUGUAUGUAUGUGUCACCGUUUUGCUGUUGUAUAGUGAGAGGAGCUUCGAUUAUCAUCUUUUAAAUAUUGAAGGGGGCAUUUUGUAUUUUGCUCCAGAUCAGAGUUUGGCUUAGAUGAUUUCUAAGGCCUUUUAUCUGCCCCUCCCACUUUCCUCCCCUCGUCGUCGUCAUCAUCAUCAUCAUCAUCAUUAUCAAUUUCUAAAGCCUUUAACAAAUCAUCACUUCUGCAAAUGUUUAUUCUGGUGCCACCUCUGGAUAUUAACCCUUGAGAAUAACCUAUCCAGGAAAAGCACAUUUCAGCUGUGUCUUACUCAGUAAAUAGGGGUUUAUGUUCUGCUGAUAGGACAUUGUUGAAUAUAGGCAGUCCUGAAACUUAAAAAAAAAAAAAUCCCUAUUGUAGAAUUAUUUUUGGAAAGCAAGAGUGGCAAAAUACAGUGCCAUACUCUAUCAGGAAAAUGGAAAGUGGAGAGAAGGCAAUGAACAUAAAAAUGAAUUGCAAGGAACCUCAUCAGCAUAAAAACAGCAGGAGGCAGCCCCACCACGAUCCUUCAUCCUGACAGGUCCCGGGGGCUGACAGGCAGGGCACUUUCCUGAGGCGUCCUUCCAGCCUGCAGGGGAGGAACCGGGCAGCCCGGAUCAGCCCAAGACGGAGGCUUCUCUGCAGCUCUGGAGCGGAGGCUCUGCAGAGAGGAGGGGGUGCCUGGAGCCCUGCGGCGCGGUGCAGAGGCGAGGAAGCAAGGAGUGGAGUCGGCACAGAAAGGCACGUCCGUGCUGCUGUCUCUGUGAGGGCUCCAAGGGGUCCAGGCCUUUGACCCAUUUUAAUUACUCAUGGUUGUGGGGCGGAGGAGCGGGGAGGGAGUGUAAGUGUGACAAAGCAUUUUUUUGGAGUGAGAUCAACCCAGAAUCCAUCCUGCUUCUGCCUUGCCUGAGCUGCUUAACCUAUGCACGCCUCAAUUUCCUUGUCAGGAAAAUUGGAAUAUUUUGUAAAACAGCCGUGAAGUCUAAACCGAACGAUUACAUAUAGUGUCCUUGAUCCACAGUGCAUGCUUGGUGUUAGUCUCCUUCCCCUGAGGCCCCGUUUCAGGCUUGACACCUGUGGAAUUUGUUUGACUUUUUAAUUAAUGCCUGUCCCAUCUAAGGUGGCACCGGCAGCACUCCUAAGGGUCUCUGCUAGGUGAGUGUCCCUGGGGCCAGAUGAAAACUGACCAGCUUGAGAUGCUUCUCAGCCUUCAUUAAGGGGACAGGCUUAUGGGCCGUAAUGUAAAAUCCCAGUCCAGACAAUUCUUGUUCAAUGGAACACUCACCCUGUGUCUACUUCUGUGCAAGGGACUGUUUAGCUGUGGUUCUGCUUUCUGUGAUGUAAGUUACCUGCAAUCAACACUGGCCCAAAAACCUUAAAUGGAAAAUUGCAGAAAUAAACAAUUUAUAGGCUGUAAAUGGCAAGCUCUCCUGAGGGGUGUGACGAAACCUUGGCUGUCCCGUUCCAUCCUUCGCUGGAUGUGAAUCAGCUCUUGGCUCAGUGUUUCCAUGCUGUGGAUGCUGCUUGCCUAUCAGUUGCUUGGUAACCAUUUUGGCUGUCACUUCCACUGUUGCGGUUUUACAGUGCUUGUGUUCAAGUCAUGCUUAUGUUACUUAAUGAUGUCCUCAGAGUACAAGAGUAGUGAUGCAAAGGAGAUACCAGGACAUAAAACAUGGAAGGGCUGAUUAACUCUGGCACUCUGUGGCAAUUCUGCAGGACAUUUAGGAAAAUACACAGUACGUUGAUAUUGGGUUGGUGCUAUGCAUGGCUUCAGGCAUCUACUGGGGAUGUGGAAAAGGGAACAGUAUUGUGCAGAACUGUUUAGCACCGGGCCUCUGCAGGCUUUAUCAUCUGGAUGGGAAGGUAACUCUGACACUUGAAAGAUUAAACUCUGCAGCUCAGUGCAGACGUGGUCUGCAUUGCGGAGUGCAUGGAGAACUGUGCCCUUCUGGCACUGAGAUUCUGCACAUCGGUCAAUGCAACAAAGACGGCAGUGUCUGUCUAGCAGAAGUGUCUCAUGCUGAGCUGAGUGGAUUUAGGAUGGAUACAGGCAACUAAAAGCUAGCAGUGUCUUGGUGAAAACAGUCUUUUGCACCACAUACUAUGCUGCGUUCAUCUUUAUUGUGAUUAAUGACAAGAGGUGUUCUCAGUCACAGAAGGAUGGAUGCUCUAGGAUGCAGCCCAAGGUCACACAGGGAGGGUUGGGGUUCAAGUCCAGAGCUUCCAUCUGUGGAGCCCAGCGACCCCCUGGGUCUGCUGUGCUGCCUUUCACAGAAUGCUGAGCAUGGAGCACUUUCCCUAAGAAGUUUUUGACAUUGAAGUAAGGACCCAGAACCCUGGUAGAAACAGCAAGUGGCAAACCCAAGGAUCACAGAGCGGAGCGGUACAGUUAAGAAGUCUGGGUUAGGAGCACCUCUGCCACUUUGCUGUUCUCUGCUAUCAGGUCAGGCAGCUAUUUGAUGUGGAAGAGAGGGAACAAACGCUCUCUCCCCCCAGACAGCUCCUGGUCUUCUCCUUGUGUCUCAGGGGUAGAGGCUGUCUGGCAGGUGCCAUUACCUCCUCUCUACUGAGGUCCCCAGACACACGUGCUUCCUUUGGGCAAGAACUAGUGCAGCCAGGUGAGACAGCUAAGGAAUGGAGAAGAGAAGGGCCUCAUGCCACGUUUCAGGUCCAGAGUCCAUGUUCCAGUUCUUCCCAUUUACUGGCUAAUCACAGAGUCUCCCAGGCCUGAACACUGGGUUAAUUUCCCAACUUUCCAGGGUUUUGAGAGAGGGAAAUAAAGUCCCAGAGUGAGCAAGCUUUGUACAGUGCUGCACACGUGGCAGGCAAUAUUUAACCUGUGGCACUGCUGUGGGUGAUGUAUAGAUAUAUAUUUCACAAGAUGUAUAGUUUUAAAAGCUUCCACUCAAAGUGGGCCCUCCAACAAUGGCAGCAUAUGAAAGUGCUGUUGUCCGUAGAGAUUAUACAACCACACUCAGAGAGCUGCUGUGCAAGGAGAGCCCCACACUGAGUGGAGGCUGGGAAUGGGGCUGGGAAUGAGGCUGGGCAGCCUCGUUGCUCUGAGGCCGAGUGAGCCAUUGCUUGGAGCUGCGUGGGUGGUUGAGAGGUCUCGCUCAGCCCUUGAUUGCUUGUGCUGCAGUUGUCAUUCUCAGCCUGGGGCUGGCUGCUGAUGGCAUUUCUUUAUUUCAUUUGGCUGGCAUUAAUAGGCCUCUGCAGAUGUCCAAAGAUUAAGCUACUUGUGGUAGUAAAGAGAAAUAAUAAGGAAAGAAAGAAGAAAAUAAAAAAAAAAAAACCAUUGCAGCUAAAUGCUGUCCUACCACAAAACAGCAGACUUGCUCCCAGACCCUUAGUUCCCCCUUCAUUAAUCUCUCUCUCUCUCUCUCUCUCUCUUUUUUUUUUUUGACAGGCAGAGUGGACAGUGAGAGAGAGAGACAGAGAGAAAGGUCUUCCUUUGCCGUUGGUUCACCCUCUAAUGGCCGCUGCACGGCCGGCUCACCGCACUGAUCUGAUGGCAGGAGCCAGGUGCUUCUCCUGGUCUCCCAUGGGGUGCAGGGCCCAAGCACUUGGGCCAUCCUCCACUGCACUCCCGGGCCAUAGCAGAGAGCUGGCCUGGAAGAGGGGCAACCGGGACAGAAUCCGGCGCCCCGACCGGGACUAGAACCCGGUGUGCCAGCGCCGCAAGGCAGAGGAGUAGCCUAGUGAGCUGCGGCGCUGGCCCUUCAUUAAUCUUAAGCAAAAUAAUGGAUGAUUCUGAUUCUGUAGUUGGAGCCACCACUACCAGUCUGGAACUAGGGCUGUCUGGUGCACAUGGGUGGUGGGAGGGAGCCCAUGUCCUGUCUCUCAUCUAGGAUGAAAUCUCCUUCUUGGAACUGGGGUGGCCCUAUCCUGGUUGGUCCUGCAGCCUCACUGGUCUUCCUUCGAGUAUCAAGAGUGUAUCCCAUGAAGAUUGGAUCAUCUUGCUCCAAAGAGACAAGGACAUCUCUGUUCCAGAAUCUGAAAUCUAGCGUGGUCAUUGUAGCUCCAGAGAAUGCCAUGAAGAUUUGGAUGAGGUUUGAAUUUCCAUUCCAGCAUUUAGCUGACCUAAUAAGACUGUUCAGAGUCUGGGAGUAUCUAAAAAUCAUACUCUAGAAUUUAGAGGUCAAAUAAUCUGAACACAGACCACUCCUCCUAGCCAUGGGUCAAUUUAGCCAUUGCUGGACAGUAAUAAUACUCUGGGAAAACAAGUGCAGGCUCUGGGGCAUUGGAGUUCUAUGAAAGUACUGCCAUUUCUCAGGAACUGUCACUUGAAAUUCAUUUACUCAUCCCUUCAGGCAACAAAUAUUUAUUGAGCUUUUACUUUAUGCCAAGCACUGUAGCAGGAACCAGGAUAAAAUGCUGAGAAAAAUCAGAAAAUGUUUCUGUUCAUUAGAGCUUAAAGUUUAGUGGGAGAGCUUGAGGUAACCCAAAUAGUCACACCAACAGGUAUAAAAUUACAAUAUGAGGGGUAGUGCGGAGCCAAAAUUGUGGUUGAGUAAGAAGCUCCAGUGACCACCUGCCCUCAGAAACAUCAAUUGAAACAGCCAUAUAUUUACCAAGGCACCUGCACAAGAGCCAUGGAAGCCAGGUGAAAGACCACAGUACCUUAUGUUAUAAGAAAAUUAAAGAAAGCAAGAGUUUCCCUCAUCGUCCCUCUCCUGGCUCCAAGGAGCACAGCAUAGAGAAUCAUUUCCUUUGUGAGAGGGGAAGGGGACUGACACCUAGUGCCAGGGCCACUGUGAAGAAAGUGUCAGAGGGAGCCCACUGGCCCCUGCCCCAAGGCCCUUACCCAUGGAGAGACUACCUGGAGCUUCUUCAUCCAGGCAGCCUCUGCCACCCAGCUCCACAAAAGCUAAACUCCAGCCAAGCAGAGUAGGUGGGAGAGGGAGGUUAAGGCUGCACCUUGGAGCUCAAAUCUGGUUUACCACACUAGGAACAGAUACCUGAUAAAGCCUAAAGACCUCUCCCACCCAGAUGGCCCUUACAGACUGAACCUCUAGACUUGCCAAAAAUCAGGCAGACACACCUGUGCUCUGGUAGGCUGGGCAUUUUUUGGGCAUAUGUUGCUGUCAGCCUUGAGUGAGUUUUGAGGGUACUCCAGGACUUUGUGGGGUCCAGAGUGUAUAAACCAGGUGUGACCAGCCUGGGGCCAAUCUGAGUGGCUAGAAGUUGCCUUUGUCAUCUUCCACCAACCUUGAGAUGUCAUCAAGGAACCAAAGAACUGUGUCUGAUAAAUUAGUUUUGUGCUGGUAAAACCUAGUAAAGAACAGACCGUUAUGGUACCUAUGGACAGAGCCUCUGAACAUAACCCAAUAUCAGGCAGAGACUUGUACCCUGGUGAGACAGACCUGUUUUUGUAUGUAGCACCAAUAGCUUCUCACAGGCCUGGUGUGCACCCCUAAGACUGCAUAGAGCCAGGCCUGGUGAUGUGAGACCCAGGUGUGACCCACCUACAGCCUACCUGAGUAUCUAAGGAGCUGCAUCUACCCCUCCUAUAACCUUGAGAAGACCAGAAGGAAUCACAGGACCAUCUUGGAACUCAGAGGCGGGCUGAUAAAACCCAAGAUGGAGCAGCUUUUAAUGGUUGCUCUUACUAGCCCAGUGCCUGCAGACAGAGCCUCUGGAGCUCUUCUGGUGCCCAGAGGAGUUCUGUGGUCUUGGUUGAGCAGUCUCAUACUCCAGUCAGCAUCAUCAGUGAUGGAGGUGGAGCAUUGGAUAGUGAACCCACUUCAACAGCAGCAGGCAGACUGUAGCCCUCCACAACAACAUAACAGACUACUGAGAAUUUCUAUAGGACAGCCACAAAUGAGGCUAGGUUACUAAAAUGAGUUCCUCAGUGUGCAGAUGAUGUCACACUCCAGCAAACCUCAGGAACUUCCAGGGAACCAUGGCCUUACCUCAGUGCAAAAUAGGGUGCCAGAAACCAACCAUCUAGGAUUCAAGUUCCCAAAUGCUCAGAUGAAGAUUUCAAAACAGCCAUUUUAAGGAAAUCCAAUGAUAUUCUAAGGAACACAGAGGAAAAAGUCAAUAUUCUAGCAGAGAAACUUGAUAAACAUUGAAGUAAUUAAACAAAAUAAAAAUCAAACUGAAAUUCUCCAGCUAAAAAUAAAGUGAAGUUCAUCAGUAGCAGAAUAGAUCAAACAGAAGAGAGAAUCAGUGAGCUCAAAGACAGGCUAUUUGAAAAUACACAAUAGGAGGAGAGAAAAAAGAAUCAAGAGAAAUGAAAAAAGUUUAUGGGAAUAUGGGACAGCAUGAAAAGAGAAAAUACUCAACUUAUUGGGGUUCAAGAAAGACUUGAGAAUGCCAAAAUAGUAGAAAGUAUAUUCAAAGAGGUAAUAGCAGAAAACUUCCCAACUUAAAGAUACAAGUAUCCAGCUAUAGGGAGGUCAAAGGUCAUAAGUCAGAUUCAACUCAACCAAGACCACCCCAAGACAUAUCCUAGUGAAGUUCUAAAGAUAGAGGAUACUCAAAGCCACAGAAAAAAAGAAACAAUAGCAAGAAAGAGGUCCCAAUUCACCUGACUGUAGUCUUGUCCACAAGAAUCUUACAGGCCAGGAGGUAGUGGGAUUAUGCCAAUCAAGAAUACUUUAUCUAGCAAAUAUAACCUUCAGAUAAAAAGGAGAGAUAAAGAUAUUUCCAGAUAAACAAAAGCUGAGAGAAUUUAUCACCACCAGACCUGUGUUACAAGAAAUAUUAAAGGGAGUUCUUCAAACUGAAAGAAGACAAGUAAGAAGAAAAUAUGAGAAGAUAGAAAACUCACUGGCAAGAGUAAUAUUCUGAAAAAUUCAGAAAGCUGUAGUAUUAGAAACACGGUGUGUAAAUCAUUUAUAUCUUUAUUGUGAAAGCUAAAAAAAUAAUUGCUACACCAAAAUCUCAAGAAUCAGGCAGUAAGGGAAGAGGUCAACUAUCACAUCAGAAAUUCAAAGUGUGAGGAGGAAUGGAGCACAAAUGUGUCCUGCUUAUUGUUAAAAAAAUCUUUUUUGUGUUUUUUUUUCCUUGUUUUUAUUAUCAAUGUUAAGUUGUGAUCUUUUCAAGAGCUUGUUAAUAGAAGAAGUUUUUUUGUAUGCUUCAAGGUAACCACAAAGAAAAACAUACAUAGACUUACCAAAAAUAAUAAACAGGGAUUCAAAGCAUGCCACUAGAGAAAAUCACCUUACCACAAGUGAAGGUUGUAAUUUAGGGACAAAGAAAGAGAGAAACUACAAUAAAAAUACAAAAUAUAUAUCAAAAUGGAAAUGGUGAGACCUCAUCAAUAAUUACCUUGAAUGUCAAUGGGAUCAAUUCUCCAGUUAAAGGCAUAGAGUGAGUGAAUGAGUAAAAAAGAGGAUGCAACUAUAUGCUGCUUAAAAGAAACUCACUUCAGUUCAAAUGACACACAUAGAAGGAAGGUGAAAGGAUGGAACAAGGUGUUACAUGUAAUGAAAAUAAAGCAGGAGUAGCCAUACCCCUGUAAAAUAAAAUAUAUUUUUGAAUCAAAAGCAGUAAAAAUACAGCUGGAAAGUGAUUUCAUUAUGAUAAAGGAUUCAAUAGGAAAUAACACUGUAAAUAUACAUAAAUCCAAUAUUGGAGUUAGACUCCAAUACAGUAAUAGUUCUGGACUUUAAUAUCCCACAUUCAGAAAUAGACAAAUCUUCUAGACAGAAAAUCAACAAAGAAAUCGCAGAAUUAAAUUGUACUCCAGAUCAAUUCGGUAAACAACUUAUUGCUAUACCUCAAGGAAGUAAAAAAAUGAGGAAAAAAUAAAAUCCAAGAUUGAUAGGAAUAAAUAAAUAAUAAAACUCAGAGCACAAAUAACAGAGAGAAAAAAUAAAAAAUGAAGAGCUUUUUUUUUUCAAAAGAUAUAAUUAAUAAACCCUUAGCUAGACUAGCCUAGGAAAUAGAGGGGAAUUUCAAAUAUAUAGAAUUAGAGUUGAAAAUAGAGACAUUACCACUGACAGCACAGAAAUAUAAGAACUGUUAGAGAUUACUGUUGAUUACUAUAUGGCAAAAAAUUCAAUAACCUAGAAAAAUGGAAAAUUCUUGGACACAUAUACCUUACCCAGAAUGAAUAAUGAGGAAAUAGAAUACCUAAAUAGACCAAUAAUGAGUAGCCACAUUGAAUCAGCACUAAUAAAAAAAAAAAAUCCCUCAUCAAAGAAAAGCCCAGUCCCAGUUGGCUUCCCUGCUGAAUUCUACUAAAUAUUUAAAGAGGAAUUAACAUCAAUCCUUUUUUCAUUAUUUCAAAAAAUAGGAGUGAGUUCUUCCAAAUUUAUUAUAUGAGAGUGGCAUUGCCUUGAAGCCAGAGCCAGAGAAGGACAGAACAAUUAAACUACAGACCAACAUCCUUGAUUAAAGUAGUUGCAAAAGUCCUCAUCAAAGUGCUAGCUGAUUGGAUCCAAAAGCAUAUUAAAAAAGUGAUCAAGUGAGAUUCAUUCUAAGGAUGCAAGAAUAGUUCAGAUAUAUGAAUCAAUAAAUGUGAUAGAAUGAAGAAUAAAAGUCAUAUGAUCAUUUCAAUAGAAGCAAUACAUUUGAUAAAAUUCAAUAUCUCUUCAUGAUAAACACUGACUAAAUUAGGUGUAGAAGGAACAUGCCGCAACAUAAAAAAGGCCAUGUAUACCGAAGUAACAAGCAAUAUCACUGGAUGGAAAAAAUAUGAAGGUUUUCUCUCUAAGAUUUGAUACAAGACAAGGAUGCUCACUUUUAUUCAACAUAGUACUGGAGAUCUCAGCUACAACAAUCACUCAUGAGAAAGAAAUAAAGGACAUACAAAUAAAAAAGGAGGAUAUCAAGCUGUCACUGUUUGCAGAUGACAUGAUCUUAUUUAGAAAACUCCAAAGACUCCACCAAAAAAGCUGCUAGAAUCAAUAAACAAAUUUAGCAAUGCAGCAUAUGUAGUCAAUGUACAAAAAUUAGAAUUGUUAUACAUAAAUAGUGAAUCAUCUGAAAAAGAAAUCAAGAAGAUAAUCCCAUUUCCAAGAGCUGCAAAAACAUAAAAUACCUAGGAAUAAAUUUAACCAAAGAAGUGAAAUAUAUCUGUAAUGAAAAGUGUGUCACUGAUCAAAGAAAUUGAAGAAGACAAAAUGAAAAUGGAAAGACAUCUUAUGUUCAUAAAUUGGAAGAACCAAUAUACUCAAAAUAUGCCUACUACCCAAAGUGAUUUAUACUUUCAGUGCAAUCCCUAUCAAAAUGCCAAUGACAUUUGUCAUAUAACUAGAGAAAACACUACUGAAGUUUGUAUGGAACCCUGAAAGACUCCAAAGCAAUCUUGAGCAAAAUGAACAAAGAAGUAGACAUUACACUAUCCAACUUUAAUAUAUAUUACAAAGCUACAGUAAUUAAAAUAGCAUAUUACUGGGGCUGGCACUGUGGCAUAGAGGGUAAAGCUGCCGCUUGCAGUGCUGGCAUCCCAUAUGGGUACUGAUUCGAGUCCCAGCUGCUCCACUUCCAUUCCAGCUCUCUGCUAUGCCUGGGAAAGCAAUGGGAGAUGACCCAAGUCCUUGGGGCCUGCACCUACGAGCACCGUUGCAGCAGUUUGGGGAGUGAACCAGAGGAUGGAAGACCUCUCUGUUUCUCUCUCUCUCUCUCUCUCUCUCUCUCUGCUUCUGCCUCUCUGUAACUCAAUCUUUCAAAUAAAAUAAAUACAUCUUAAAAAAAUAGCAUGUUAUUGGCAUAAAAGCAGAUUCGGAGACCAGUGGAACAGAACACAGGUCCUAGAAAUAAACCCACGCAUGUAUAGCCAGCUGAUCUUUGACAGAGUUGCUAGGAAUAUACCUUGUAAAUAGGAUAGACUUUUUAAUACAUGCUGCUGGGUAAAUCAGUUAUCCAUAUGCAGAAGAAUGAAACUAGACCACUUUCUCUCACCAUUUAUAAAAAUCAGCCCCAAAUGGAUAAAAGACCUAAAUGUGAAUUCCAAGACUUUGAAGCUAUUAGAAGAAAACAUAGGGAAACCACUUCAGGACAUUAAAAUAUGUAGGGAUUUUCAGGAUCAGACUCCAGAAAGGACAGGAGAUAAAAGAAAAAAUAGACAAACAGGGGCCUGGCAUUGUGGUGUAGUGGCUUAAAUCUUCACGUGCAAUGCUAGCAUCCCAUAUGGGAGUGAGUUUGCAUCUCAGCUGCUUCACUUCCAAUCCAGUUCCCUGCCAAUGUGCCUGGGAAAGCAGCAGAAGACAUCCUAAAUCCUUGGGCUCCUGCAUCCACGUGGGAGACCUGGAUGAAGUUCCUGGCUCCUGGCUUUGACCUGGGCUCUCCCCUGACUGUUUCAGCCAUUUGGGGAGUGAACCAGUAGAUGAAAGAUCGAUCUCUCUCUCUCUUUCUCUCUCUUUCUUCUCUCUCUCUAGCUCUGAUUUUCAAAUAAAAUAAAUAAAUCUUAAAAAAAGACAAAUGGAAUUUCAUCAAGCUAAAGAGUUUUUCCCGACAACAAAUGAAACAAUCAGUAGAAUAAAGAGACAUCCUUCGGAAUGGGAGAAAAUGUUUGCAUGCUAUACCUCUGACAAGGGGUUAUUUGGAAUUAUAAAGGACUCAAUAGCAAAAGGAACAAAUAAAAACAAAAGUUGAAACAAUCUGAUUAAAAUAUGGACAAUAGAUUUAAACAGAAAUGUCUUAGAGGAAGACAUACACAUUUACCAACAGGUACAUGAAAAACAUGCUCUGUAUCACUACUCAGGGAAAUGCAAGCAACAAUGAGGUGUAACCUCAUACCAGUAAGAUUUGCUACCAGCAAAAAGAUGAAAGCUAACAAGAUUUGGCAGGAAUGUGGCAGAAAGGGAGUCCUCAUAUACUGUUGGUGGGAAUGUAAAUUCCUACAGCUGUUGUGGAACACAGUAUGGAGAUUCCUUAAGAAGCUAAAAAUAGAACCAUCAUAUGAUCCAACAAUCUCAUUGCAGGGAAUGUACACAAGGGAAAUGAAGCCUAUCUUUUGAAAGGACAUCUGUAUUCCCAAGUUUAUUGCAACACAUAUCUUGUGGCUUGUGUCCAAAAAAGCCUGGAAAGCACUACUCUAGAGUCUUCUAGGGAAACAGGUCUGUUUUGAGGUUCUGAGCCAAUAGGAAGAAACUCAGUACCCAGUGGGCGGGACUGACUCCUACAGAAGAUCCCUGAGUCAUUCACUCCAGUCCUGAGGUUUUGGCCAGGGAUGGCCAAGAGUUUCCCAGGAUGGUUCCACAUCUCUGGGCCCCAAGCAUCUAAAUCAAUGCUGUAAUCUUAGAAUUGAAUUCACUUCUUCCAAACCUGAUGCAUUCUACUAGAUGAAGGGAAGGAGACAAAAGUAAGUAAAUUGCUUUUGGGGCUCAUGACUGCUCCCUGGUGCUCAUCCCCACAGAUCAUGGUUACCUCCUAAAGCUUCUUGACUUGGCACUGAGUGUUUCAGGUCUAAGGCUUCCUUUAGCCUCCACAAAGUCUUUUUCUUCCAUCUUUUCAAGCCAUUGAAGAUAUGUCCCAUUUCUGAAGAUUUCUACAAAUGAGGACUUCUAAUUCUGCUUUUCCUACAUUUCCAUAUUAGGCAAAGACUUGAUUAGAAGUCUUCACACUGCCUCCUAUACCUGUGGAUCAAGCUCAGAAUCAAAGGCUUCAGAGAACAUUGGAGCUCAGUCAUUUGGGACAGUGAGUGUGUUGCAGACACCUGCAUUUCAAAAUUUGACAAGGAGUGAUGAACGGAGCUGCAGGGGAAUGGUUCCUUUGGUUGCUACAGAAACCAAAUUGAGUUGGGUUUAGCAUUUAAUUAUAGGGUACACCCAGAGAUGGAGUUAAACAUUGUCUACCACUGUUUUUGUUUUUUUUUUUUUUUAUUGUAACUCCAAUCCUCUUGGCAAGUAGCAGCGGUAACUCCCGGGAAGCUAAAAGGGGGCAGUAGAACAUGUUGUGACAAAGGAGAGGGUGUUGUAGAAGUUUAGAAGUGGCAAGGACUUAGCCUUCUACCAAUGGCAGGAUUGUUGUCCAAGAAUUUCCUUUCCAGCCUCUGGUUCCUGCCAAUUAGGAAGGCAAUCUCAAGAAUAGCAAAGGGAACUGGAUAGGAUCUAGAGCUGUGGUUUCCAAGAUAGUUGCCACCUGUGGCUAUUAAGCACAUGCAAUGUGGCUUGUUCAAAUUCAGAUGUGCUGUAAAUGAGAACACAUGCCAGAUUUCAAAGACUUAGGGUGAUAAAACCAAUGUAAAGUAUCUUAUUACUCUAAAAAUACUGAUUAUGUAUUGAAAUUAUAGUAUUUUGGAUUAAGUAAUAUAGAAUUAAAAUAAUUUCCACUACAUUCUUUUGAUUACUUGUAUAUUAACACAAAAUUUAGAAGUAUAUAUGUGGCUCAUAUUAUAUAUCUAUUGGACAGAACGGGUUUACAGACUCCUGUUCUGAGACUGGAUUGGGUCGAUUUUCCAUUAACUGGAGAAGGUGUCUAACCUUGAAUUACUUUGGGUUCUUUACCUGCAAGAUGAAAGAAAGUAAAUGCCCUCUCUGGCUUUUUCAGAGGGUUAUGUGAAGAUUCAAUGCUAGCAUGGUUUCCAUAGUGUACUUUCAAGAUUCCCCAUUUAGGGUCAAGGGACUCAUUUCCCAGGUAAUCAAUCUGUGUGUGCUGUUGAUGACUACAGUUGAGUGCCUCUUAAGGAAUUUUUUGUAGCUGAAUGGAGCUGCCCAUCAUGAGCUCGAUUCUUUCAGAUGAGCCUGCAAGAUGCAAGUGGUUCAUUCAGUGUCAAGCACAAGCAGGCCACAGAUCACAGGGAAGCUAUGUGAGCAAGUGGCUCGGACUCUUCUGUCACCUGUGUUGUUUUCUGUCCGUCAGCACACACUGGUGGCAAUGGCUGCAGUGGAGACUACAUUACGAACAGUGUAUGGAGGGGAAAAAUGGUCAAAUUUGGGUUACAGAUGGGUUGGCUUUGUUUGUGUGCAAGCCUGAAAAUCUACUGCUGUGAACCAAAGCUCCACUGAGGGUGACUCCUAAAGAAAGGGAUGAGAGGAAAUUCUCUCAAUAGGCAAAAUGUUGAGCGACAGACCUAAUAAUUCAUUCUGUAAAGAGAGAGAAGUGGACUAAAGUAGGAAUAUAUGAGGGGGCUUAAAAAAUGGAAUUAAAAAUGUUUAUUUUGGUGCAAAAAUGAAAUCCAUGCAAAAAUUUGUGAAAACACAUAUGAAAAAUAAUUUAUGGACUUAAAAAUUUUUUUGCACCAAAAUAGACUCAUCUUUUAUUUCCAAUUCCUAUGAAUUUUCAAAAGUACCCUCAUAUAUCUAUAGGAUCACGAGAAGUAAUGAGUGGCUUGGCUGGUGGAUCAGGGAUGUGGAAAGAAAAUGAUUGAAAAGCUUGGAAUAAUAUGGCUGGUGAAGAGGUAUAGCCUUUGGAUGUGGGCAUAAAGGGUCAGAAUCUUUGUACUGCAUGUCAACACCACCUGAGAUCAGCCAUCUUGGAAGAGGUACCAGACAACCACGUGAUAAAUUGACUCAGCCAGCUGGCCUCAAACAGCUUCUGUCUUCGACUAUUCUAGUAUAUGAGCAAAGGGUAGUGAAUAGAAUGCCCAUGGUGGCAGGGACUUAGGUGAUCCAUGUGAUAUGUACUCUAAAUAAACAACUGCUAUAGAGGGAUGUGAGGGUAAAUAAGGAGUUGCCUUGUUUGCUAUCCCUCCCAGUGACUCACAUGGAAAAUUUGUGCUCUCCAUCCCCACAGCAGUAGACCCUGUAGGUCUAGAGGUGCUGGUUUCUGGAGGGGGAAUGCUUUAAACAGUGUCUAUGAUAAGGGCACAUUGUACCCUAAGCUGUCAUUACCAUCUGUUCUCUUCUGCCUCCUUGUACCCAGACGUCAGCAGGCAGGGACAGGAGUCACUACAUAGGUAGGAAGGAUUGACCUGGAUAAUAGGAUGAAGUAGUGCCAUAUUGCAUAAUGUAGCAUUCAGUUGUCACAACGGGGCAUCUCUCAAUACCCCCUAACUCGAUUUAAAAUAAGUAGACAAGUGUAGCACCCAUGGCCAGAGAAGAGAGUGGUGAGAAGAAACUUGCUCAGUGUUCUCAGGGAUGAGGGCUUGGGCCACACCAUUAGGAACAUAGACCAGCAGAGAUAUUAGCCGAGGGUGAGAGGAAUCUGAAAUGGAUAGCAGAGGAAGGUGAUAGCAAAGAUCAUCCACAGCCUCAAGACCAGAUGCUGUAAUGGUGGUUUAUCCCACUAAUCUAGCUCUGAAUGUUUCCCCGGGUGAAGAAAGGACAGAGAAGUUGCUCCCAGAAAGGGUGAAUCUGGCUGGUACAAAAGCUACACAGCACUGGAUAUUGUGGUGUAUUGCCUGGAGUUCCUACCUAGGAUUGAAGUACUCAGCAUCCAACUGCCGGGAGUACUGGCUGCUAAUGAAUGACAUAGGAGUUCCUCUCCAAGAAUUACUCAUGUCUGAAGGGAGCCCAUGCUCACAGCUCCUCCGCAAGGAAAUCCACAACCAACAAUUGGUUGGGGUAGAACAAGAAACCCUGGCUCCUUUGUCUUGACUCCAGACCAUAUUGUAAGGCAUCCUAGCUCCCGAACUUCCUGUAGUUCUUCUUUUGCCUGAUAUUAUACCUGAGGACUUGUCCCAAAAACUUUGUGCAUGCAAACCUUUGUCUCAGAAUGUGCUUUUGGGGCCACCCAAACCUAAGAGGGAUGAUCCUAGUCACUGGUGCAAAAACACUGAACUUGACCUUGGAGGUUCUAGAUUCCACUGAAAACUCUGUCCUGGUUUACUGUGUGUAAAAUGGGGAUGACAAGAAACAAGUCUGAAUUAUGUGAUUCAAUGUUGCUUCCAAGUAUGACUUUCCACUUGUGUGAAGUAACUGGGGAAAGAUAACAGUUAUAUGAAGAGCUAGAAGGAGCCCUGGGAAUCUUUCAGAUGUCCUUCACUUUACAUGUCAAGAAACUAAGUGAUCUUCCCGUGAGUGCCCUGCCAGAAAGAGCAGAGGUGAUGGCCGGCGCCGUGGCUCACUAGGCUAAUCCUCUGCCUUGAGGUGCGGCACACUGGGUUCUAAUCCCGGUCGGGGCGCUGGAUCCUGUCCCGGUUGCCCCUCUUCCAGGCCAGCUCUCUGCUAUGGCCCAGGACUGCAGUGGAGGAUGGCCCAAGUGCUUGGGCCCUGCACCCCAUGGGAGACCAGGAGAAGCACCUGGCUCCUGCCAUGGGAUCAGCGCGGUGCACCAGUCGCAGCGCGCCAGCCGCGGCGGCCAUUGGAGGGUGAACCAAUGGCAAAGGAAGACCUUUCUCUCUGUCUCUCUCUCUCUCACUGUCCACUCUGCCUGUUAAAAAAAAAAAAAAAGCAGAGGUGAGAUUUGAACCUGGACUUCAACCUGACACCCUGUCUUGUUUGUGCUCUUUACCAUCUCUGGGUCUCUGGUGUCAGUGACUAUUUGCAAGUUGCAAGAGUAUUUGAAAUAGGGAAAUUGGAAAAUUUAGGGUUGGUUAGAGGAUCCUGAUCAACUGGCUGCUCCUGCUGCAUGUCUAUAGUUUCUGUUGUGCAGCUAACAAGACAAGGAGUCACCAUAAUGCAGGAGUCAUCGACCCUGAUGGGAGGAAAUUCUGUCAUUUACUUAUACUAGGUUGACAGGAGGUCAUGGCUUUUGUCCUAGGGUGGGACUUCUUAAAUUUUAAUGUGCUCAUGAAUCACUUGGGAUCUUGUUAAUAUAAUGACUCUGAUUCUAUAGGUCUGUGUGGGGCCAGAGAGUCUGCCCUUCUAGAUGUUUCUCAGUGUUGAUGCUGCUGGCUCAUUAGCCAUAUUUUGAGUAGCAAGGUGGUGGAAAGCGGGUUUCAACCGCUGGGAUUGUCAGAAACACAUGGGAACUUAUUGAAGCAGCUCAAUCAAACUACUCAUGGUCAGGGGUUCAGAUUCCACAGUAUAGGAUGGGCAUCACUAAUUUAAAACUCAAGUAGUUGAGGUCACCACCAAUGUUUAAGAACUGAGGUUCUAGGGCAGUGAUAUUCAUGGUUACAACUGACAUUUGUGUUCAUGAUGAAGCUGAACAGGCAGCACAGGACUGCCACAGGAAGAGGAAGGAGACAUGACUGUUGCCUGAGUGUCGCUGAGGUCACAGGUGCUGGACAGUAACUGAGUGUACAUCACGGACCAGUCACAAAGGGCCAUGGAAGGAAUCCCUGGGACUUAUGUGGGUUGGAGUUUUGUUAAAACAAUCUAUAGAAAUAAAACAUUUCAUUACUUAUAAGAUGCAUCCUACAGUUGUAAUUUUUCAUAACAAUUAAGGUGGUGGAAGUUGACGGACUACUUGAGAUUUCAUUUUGCAGAUUGAGAUCAUAGACUCAGACUGUAGGAAGUGAGGGCCUGCUUGUUGUUCCAGUCUAUGAGCUUCAUUCCAGCACUUGUCUGGGAUGCCCACUUGUCUAGUUGGCAUCUGCUUUCUGCUAACUGGGAUUCUUAGCCUGUUUCAGAUGUGAGUGAGCUCUUCAGUGGUGUUUAUCUACCUCCAAACACUCUUUGGUUGGCUCACUUGCUGGCCUGCUGCUCAGGGGGACCCCAAAUCCAUGCCUACUCACUGCCAGCUGCCUGGCUAAUGGGCAUCCCUGCUUCGUGGCAAACGCAAGGUUCUGCUGCCUCAGCACAGGGCGGGCUGGAAUUCAGUGUGGGAUGGAAUGUCCCAAGACACUCACCCCCUGCCAAACUCACUCCCUCCCUGCCAAACUCACUCCCUCAGACUCUGGUUGCCUUUGCUUGUUCAUCAGAAGACACUAAGAUGAACUGUGAAGGAAGGACCUGUUAGCAGGACAGCCACGUUGGCAGCACAGCCCUGAUGGCAGCCACAGCCUUCCCACCGGGCCUGUCAAAGCUAGGGGCUGGGGAAGUCAGUGUCAUCUUCAGACAGCUGACCUAGGACUGGCUCAGAAAGCCUCAGCCAGUCAAUAGCUCUGCAACUCUGAGUAUGACCACAAUGCAGAAUUAUCCUGUAGCAUGCAGAGCCUGCAAGGAGAGUGGAAGGAAGACGGUAGGUUAAUGGAACUGGGACGUAGCCAGGACAGCAGUAUUGGCCUAUUCUUUACUGAGGAAAGCGGCCCAGUUGCCCGUGGAUGAAACUCCAUGGAUCAAGCUCCAGGGAUUAAAAUGAAGGUCUGCAUUUUGCAUUGUGACCACUUUUGCACAAUGAAGUGAUGAGAUCUUUUUUCUUUCUCUCCUCCCAGUCUUUUCAAGGUAUUUUCCCUCCUGGUACUCCCUGGCACUUCCCCCAGGUUAUCGCUCCUUAUACUUUGCUGGGCUCAUGUCUCCUUCCUUGUGGGUUUUUGUACUUUAUAUCCCCUUCUCUUGCCAACAGUAGUUUGUUUCAUGAAAUCAAUUACAUAAUUAACUGACCACCAAGUGGACUUAAUUUUUUCCAUUAAAUACAUUGUGGACAAGUGAUGAGUAAGACUGACCUGAUAACGAGGCAGAGAGUAGAAUGAGUGAGAGUAGCAAUAAUAACUAGCUUCCUGUGAGUGCUUACUAUGUGAGAGGCCUAAACACCUUAUUAUCCAUUAAAUAUUCAGUUAAAUGAGGAUUUUCUUGUGAGUGCAUGCAUUUUUUUUAAAAAAAGUUAUUUUAUUUAUUUAAAAGAGAUAGAGAAAGAGAGAAAUCUUUCAUUUGCUAGUUCACUCCUCAAAUGGCUGAAACACCUGGGGCUGGAGCAGGCUGAAGCCAGGAGCCAGGUGCUUCAUCCAGAUCUCUCAUGUGGGUGCAGGGGCCAAGUACUUAGGCCAUCUCCCACUGCUUUCCCAGGUGCAUUAGCAGGGAGCUGGAUUGGAAGUGGAACAGCUGGGAUUCGAACUGGCCCUCACAUGGGAUGCUGGCACUGCAGGCAGUGGCUUAACCCAUUAUACCAAGUGUUGGCCCCAGGAUGCACACAUUUGCUAAGCCCAUUUUUCAGAGGAGAAAAGUGAGGCACAGAAUGGUUAUGUGGGGUCUCUGGGGUGGAGCCCCCCUUGGUGGAAAUCAUGGCACUCUCUUCCCCAUCCUUGAUUGUGAAGUUUUACUUAGCUUUCAAAGUCUUUAGUUGGAGGUGGGAUGAGAGCAGAGAUAAGUAGAUGCUAUGGUUUGAACAUGAUUUGGCUCCUCCACUCACAUGGAUGAGUAAGUUCCAAAGUCAUGGACAGAUGAUACUAAUGGAGUGGUGUCUUUAUUCAAUUAUGGUGCCUAGGAGCUGGGCCUGAUGGGUGGUCCUUAGGUCACUGGGGGCGUGCUCUUGUGAGAGGGAUGAUUGUAUAAGCCAAGUAGUGUCUGGCCUCUCUCUGCUUCCUGGCUUGCUAUGUGCAACUCUCUCCAGCCUCCUCUGGUUUCAGCAGACGACUGAACCAAUGGGGCCACCUGAGCUUAAAUUGUAAACUACCAAAGCAAUAAACUAAAAUAAACUUGCUCUCUUCAUAUGUAGUCUGGGUCAGGUAUUGGUUGUAGAGAUGAAAAACUGACUGGGUGAGUAGAAUUCACAACUGAAUCUGUUUUCCUUUGUUUCAGGAGAUAUCCAUUCAAAAACCUCAGGAAACUUUGUGAAUUAUAAAAUCAUGCUAGUUGGAGCCUGCGCUGUGGCGUAGUGGGUAAAGCUGAUGCCUGCAGUGCCAGCAUCACAUAUGAGUGCCGGUUCGAGUCCCAGCUGCUCCACUUCCAAUCCAGCUGUCUGCUAUGGCCUGGGAAAGCAGUAGAGGAUGGCCUAAGUCCUUUGGCCCCUGCACCCAUGUGGGAGACCUGGAAGAAGCUCCUGGCUCCUGGCUCCUGGCUUCGGAUCAGCCCAGAUCUGGCUAUUGUGGCCAUUUGGUGAGUGAACCAACAAAUGGAAAACCUCUCUCUGCCUCUGCCUCUCUGUAACUCUGCCUUUCAAAUAAAUAAAUAAAUCUUUAAAAAUCAUCAUAUUUGUCAUCUCAUCUUUUCAUUGGCUAUGAUUCGACAUAAAACCCAUAAAAUAAUAAGGCUGAUAUGAUUUGGGGGGUGGGUAGGGGAGGUGGUGAACUUAGAAAGAAGGUACUGAGAGAGGAGGAGCUGGGAGGCUGUGUCCUUUUCCGUUAGUGUGAGGGCAGGAGGACCCCCAGGGCACCAGCUGGUGAUGACAGCAUCCAAGAGGCCAGGCUGCAGAGACUGAUCAGGUCUAGGGCCUCCUUUCGGGAGACUUGGGCUUUGAACAAAGGGCUGCACUGCAGAGCAGAAUGCAGAGGAGAGAGAGGCCCAGUGCUGGUGAGAUCAGCAAAGCAGGGCAGAUUCUCUGCAGCCAGAAAUCUGAAACACACACAUGCGAUCCCGCCUGUACUUGGUGUGGGCCAAGUCUGUUGGAAUAAAAAGGGCUUUGGAUGUGUCUACGCUCAGCUCCUCGGCUGAACUACAAGCCUUUAAGGCGUCUCUCUGUUCUCAGUCGGAAGAGGAAAGUGGAGCAGUCAGAAAGGAGAAAGGCGCGGGCCACGAGCACUCGGCCAGGGUUUCCUGGGAGAUCCACUGGCUCAGGGCCUGAGGUCUGAGAUGGGGUCGCAGUACCAGUAUGACAGGUGCUGUGUUCUUCCCUCACUGGGGAGCUGAGACCCCUUCAGCAGUGAGCAGCUAAGGGCACUGCGGUUUUCUAGGCGGAAUGUUGGGAGACAGCAGGUGGCGCUCUUUCUCCUGAAACACGUCCGCAGCUUGGCUGGCACACCUGCCGGGGGCGGCAAGCCGUCUGAUCGCUGCAGUCCGCAGUCACCCAAGAGGACCAGCGUAAAAAUGGCUGGUCAGGAAGGCCUGCCAAGUAUAACGUCCCCCGGACCCGAAGUCACCCAGAGGGCUCUAGAUGGGCGUGGGCUGGCUGCACUGAUCAACGUGGAAGCGCCCAGUUCCCUUUUCACGACCUCAGCAUACACGGCUGCCUUUGCAAAGGAGGACGUUCUGUGUUACACGUGCUGACUGCACCCAUCUGGGCUUUAGAUCAGACCUGGAAGAGUCACGCUGCCCCUGUGUGUGACAAGCAUAUGUGUAGUUCGUCACGUGGGAAGGUGAGAGGGCCGGGGUCCUGUGUGCCACCCGGGUGAGACGCUGUUCCCUGGGGAAUGCAAGGACGGCAGGAUUCUGUGAGAACCUCUUACCUGGGGGGACUUGCUGUAACCAGGAGAUGUUGCGAUUUCUCAGAGGAAUAAUCUGACAGUGGUUCUCCUCGGAAGACCCAUUAUCUGAAAAGAUGCUAAAUAAACAGAAAUAACUCUCUCCUCCAAACAGAAAAUAAAAAUAAUUUCAUGGUGAAGAAAAAAGAUCGCUGGAGGGGCCCACACUGUGGCUUAGCAGGUUAAAGCAUCUGCCUGUGGCGCUGGCAUCCCAUAUGGGCGUCGGUUUUGGUCCCGGCUGCUCCACUUUCGAUCCAGCUCUCUGCUAUGGCCUGGGAAAGCAGUGGAAGAUGGCCUGAAGGAAGCUCCUGGCUCCUGGCUUCAGAUUGGCCCAGCUCCAGCUGUUGCAGCCAAUUGGGGAGUGAACCAGCGGAUGGAGGGCCUCUCUCUAUCUCUCCCUCUGAAAC
Molecule: non-coding RNA, 46433 nt
Organism: Oryctolagus cuniculus (rabbit)
Lineage: Eukaryota; Metazoa; Chordata; Mammalia; Lagomorpha; Leporidae
Source: RefSeq, a predicted model, not a curated record